UGCAAAUCCUCAGCGCUGCUCUUGCCAUCCCAGAAGGAUUCCAACGCGAACUUGAGCUCCCUCUUGGGGCCCAUGCGUGGGUAUCCAACGAUGUGAGAUGCCAUUUUACUGUCAUAAUCACGUCAUCAAUGAAUCGAAAAUCAGUCACUUUCAUUAAAUCAAGAAAAUAUUCAUUCAAAUGGAUGGGUCAUUGCUAUUACUGCUCAAAUCAAAUGAAAUCAAGAACACUUAUCAGAGCAUAAAAUCUUAAAUUAAUUUUUUUAUAAAAAAAUAAAAAACCAGUUGAAACAAGCUGAUAAUAAUCCAAGAGUUUGAGAUGAUUUUUUUCUUUCUGUAAUCACAUGAACAAUUAUGUACUUUCAGUCAUUUUUGAAGGAUUAAAACAAAAAAUUCUACAAAUAGAUUCUGAAAAGAAGAAUCUAAAAAUAGAUUCAAAAACAGUAACACAAGUAGAGUUCAAAUUGUUUUUCGGAAAAGAUUAAUUACAGAUCUGAUUGAUUCACGUUCAGAUCUAGCAAAAUCACGGCAGCCAAACACUAGAUCUAACACUAACAGUCACUCACCAGUCCAUUAGAAAAUGAAAUCAAGUUCAAAAUUCUUUUAAAGUUAAUUCUUUUUUAGAAAAUGACCAGAUUUUAGUUGAGUAUUAGUGAGUUUUUUACAAAAUAAUUUAUUUUUGUUUUUUAGAUCCAAAAGUUCGGAAAUCAAAACCAUGUUCAAUGCUUAUUCAUGAUUAACGGCGUAAAAACGCUACUGCAGAGAAGACAUAACGAAAAUGGGAACCGUACCAAACAGAGAAAGAAGAGCAGAGAAAUUGAGAGUCGAGAGGAGAGAGAGAAGAGAGCGGCGAGUUUGGGGGAGUGCCCUCUCCGUUAUUUAUAGCCAAAAAUCAAAUCUGGUUUGGUGGUUGCCUUUGGCGUGCCAACCUGUAGAUCUGAGAUUUUUCAUCUUAAUUUCUUUCUCUUAUUUAUUUAUUUAUUUAUUAUGAUUUUCAGUGCAGUUCAUAAAAUAUAGAGCUGACGCGCGCUUUUCUGAUGUGGCGCGUGAAUUGGAAAUGCGGUAGGUCUUUGUGGGCCCCACGGCACGGUCAGGACUGAAGGAAAAAUGUGAGAAGUUAUCAUAAUUUCAACAGUGCCAUAAUUAGCAAUUACACCACCAAAUAUUUCUUGAGUUUUUUUUUUUUGAUUGCUUUAAAUGCAGAGUUGUUAUGAAUUGUGUUAAUUGUAGAGUUGUUAUGAUUAGAUUACAUUAUAAUUCGUCACAAUUAUGAUAGGUAUGUACGUAUAUAAUAAUUUAUGAGUAAUGAUAUAACCACAAACUCUUAUACAAACUUAUUUUGUACAAAUUGAUGUGGCAUGAUAAAAUUAGUUGAAUUAAAUAUUACUUGAUCCACAUGAUUUGUUAUUAUUAUUUUAUAUUUUCAUUCAACCAAUGAAUUAAUGACACGUCAGUUUGUACAAGAUAAGUUUGUACAAGAGUUUAUGGUUGUAUCAUCACUCAUAAUUUAUAUAAGAUCUCGAAUAUUUAAAAAAUUUAUAAAUCAUUAUUUUCAUGUACAUUUACCUGGUAGCAAUGACAAUAACAUAAAAUAAACUCCAAACAAGAAUGGAUUAUAUUAUUUAUGUUAUUUUAUAGCUUUUUAAUUGAUUUUUAAAAGGAUUAAUUGUUAAUCAUUACUCUCCAACCGUAAUCACCAUUAAAUAUUUAUUUAAUUUAAUAGUCGGUAGAUCAUAAAUAAGAUUAGAAUAUUUAAUGGACAAUCUAAUUGCUACUACAAUUGUUAUCAUUUUUUUAAGGUAAGGGAUUAGACAAUACUCAAAUUUAUUUUUUAACCCCUUACUCCCUAAAGAUUCGAAUUUAACUAACUAAUUAAAUAAGACUGCUUAAAAACCACUCAACCACAUCUUUUGGGGACCAAUUAAUAUCGAUGUUUAAACUGAGGUUUAUUAUUAAAUUUUUUAAGUUUCAAGUUUCAACCGCUAACAACAUUAUCAUCGAUUAAUGAUAAAUAUAAUAAUAUUUCAUCAAAAAACCAUUUAACACAUCCAUCCAUAUUAAACAUAAGUAAAAAAUUUAUCAUGCAUUUCAAAUAUAUUUUUCAUCCUAAAAGUUAUGGAGAAAAUCUUGAUAUCAAAACUUACAAUGUAAUUAUGGGAUGUAAUUUUGCAUUUGAGGUCAGCACAACUUAAAAAUUACUAUGAAUGAAAAUUUAUAAUAAGCAGACACCACAAAAAAAAAUUAUUUAUAAGUAUUACAAUCAUGCAGUUUUAUUUAAGUAUUUAACCAAGUCAUUCAAUUUCUAAUUAAGACGGUAUAAAUUAGAUUUGGGCUGCCUAAGACCAAAAGUCAAAAAAAAAAAAAGAAUAUUCCUAAUAAGCAGCCUACCGCGGUCACGCGCCUUAAGAAACGCUUGGACUUAGCACACGAUUUUAAUCCAAAAUGUAUAAAAAAGGAAAAAUUUAUGAGGUGUAUAAUUAUCUUGAGUUGUUAUAUUUUGAAGAAACAAUGAAGAAAGUUGGUGGCCGAAGUUGAUCCGGGGCGAAUGGUGGUGGGCCCACGUUGUUGCAUUAUAAUUGGAGUUAUUGUAAUUUUUCUUAUAAUUAAUAAACUCCAUUUUUCAAAGAAAAUAAAUAAAUAAAUACACUCCCGAUUACGAAAAUAUCAUUUCAUGAGUGUCAAAGUUAGAGCUGGCAAAAUUUGACACGACCCGAUUACCUGACACGAACACGACAUAAAUAAAUAAGUAUGGAUCGUCAAAUUUAACACGAUUAUUAAAUGGGUCGGGUCUGGGUCAACACAAUUUUUUUCCGUGUCGGGUUUGGGUUAAAAUUCUUGACCCAUUUACCCGAUCAAUGACCCGAUUAUAUUUUCUAUUUUAAAAUAAUUUACAUAUUCUUAUAAUUAAAACUCAAAUAUUAGAGAUAUUUUUUUUAUUCUUUAAAAUGGUGAAUAUAAACACAGUGUUUUAUUUAUAAAAUUUUACAUACAUUUAGAGCUUCAAUAGUGUAAAUGUGUAAAAAUUGAUAGACAUGUAUAUUUUAUAAUAUUGAUAUAUAAUAUUAUAUAUAUAUAUAUAUAAUUAAAACCUCAAUAGUGUACAUGUGUAAUAUAUUGGUAGAUAUGUAUAUUUUAUAAUAUCGAUAAAUUAUGUAUGUAUGUAUUUAUGUACAUACGUAUGUAUGUAUUUAUGUAUAUACGUAUGUAUGUAUUUAUGUACAUACGUAUGUAUGAUAGUGUGUAAAUAUUUUAUGUAACUUUUGUUCAAUAUAUAGAUAUUAAACGGGUUAUUGGGUAACCCGAUUGUUUUUCCGUGUCGGGUUUGGGUCUCAAUAUUUUGACACGAUUAUUAAAUGGGUCGGGUUUGGGUCGACCUAAAUUUGACACGACACGACACGAACACGACCCGAUGACCCGUUUUGCCAGCUCUAGUCAAAGUGACCGUCACCUACGCAUCGCGUUUGUUGGGCGGGGUGGGUAAGGUGGGGCGAGGAGUUUGUUUGAUCGUCUGAUUACUUUGAUUUUGAUGAAACGUAUGGACGACGGCGAUGGCUUGCCAGCAAGUGGGUUUAUCAUGAUUUUGAUUGUAUUCGGGGAGAUGCUUAUGUAUAUCCUCAAAACUUCUUGGAAAUGAAAACCGCUGGGGUGGCAAAUCUUGACCAAUAAAGUGUGCGUGAUGUUGCGUUUAUAAAUUUCAAUAAUACUAUUGGCCGAUUGAGAUUAUUUUUAAAAAGUUUAAAAAUAAUUUUUAAAGGUUAAAUGUUAAUUUUAAUAUUGAAUAAAUUUUUAAAAAUUAUUUUUGAUAAAAUCAUUUUAUCCUCCAAUAAAUUUUAAAAAAUAGCGAUACAGUAAUUUUUUAAAAUCUAAUUUUAAUAAUCAAAACUAUUUUUUUAUAUAAUUUUAUAGAUAUCCGCAUAUAUAUAUUAUAAAAAUUCGAAAUCAUUAUUAUUAAUUAGGAAAUAAAAUCAUUAACUUUUAAGAAAUUAUUAUUAUUACCAAUUAUACUGACAUAACAAAAUAAAAAAUUAAUUAAUAUUAUAAAUAUUUAUUUCAGUUAUCAACUAUUAUAUAUACACAAUAAAAAAUAUUUUAUAUACAUAUUUAUAAAUGUAUAAAUAAUUUUUAUUCAAUAUUAUAUCGAAUUAAUCAUUUACAUUCUUGCAACAAGUUAACAAUAAAAUUUACCAAACACAUACGAUUGUUUUUAAAACUCAUAUUAUUUUUUUAAAAAAAAAUUACUAAACCUUUAACUGAUUCUCUUACAACUGAUUAUUUCUACAGUACAAUUAACAACAAUUAUUUUAAAAACUAUAACAUUUUCAAACUAGCCCCAUGACAAUAUUGUUAUUGUUGUUUUUCUUACUCUUAUCAAUAAAACUACGUUGCACAUAAGUGCAUAAAAAUUCACACAAAAUAAACUAUUUAACUUUAGGGUAUUAAUUGAAAAAAAAAAUCAGAUUAAGGUGAAUAAAUAUCAGAAAAUAACAAAUAGAUAAACUCUCACACUCUUUAAAAAAAUUAAUUUUAUAAUUUUAUUUAAAACCAACAGAUAUUACCAAACUUAACGGAUCAAUGUUCCAAUGUUUUCUUUUUAAUUUCAAAACCAACAGAUAUUCUUUGUUCAUUAUAUGACCUCCAAACAAAUAAUUUCAUUAAUAAAAUAAUAAUGAAAAGUAUCGUGGUGAGUACAGAGUAAUUCGGUGGCUAAUAAAAGUCUCUAUUUUUCGUCUCUGUUUUUCAUUUUAACUCUUGGGGUUGGUGCCACUUCGGCCUUGGUCGGAGUGGUGGGCUGCUGCCCUCACAAGUAUUGUGAGGACAGUGGUUCAAGCCCCCACAAAUAUUUUUGUGGGGGCUAACGUACUUAUUUAUUUAAUAUUUCAAAAAUUUCUUCUCCCUCGUGCAAUACGAGUGGAGUAUGGACAUCCCUCCUCUAUAAGGGAUUAUUUGUCUGGGCAUGUACUUCACAGAAUUCAAUGUAAUAAUAUAAGUCUCAAUCAUAUAUUUUUGAUUGUAAAUAUCAAUAUAAUAUAUCUGCUAUAAUAGCAGUUGUAAAUAUCUGUGUAAUGCAAUAAUAUGAUAAUUAAUCAUUAUUCAAAAAAAAAACUCUUGGGGUUGGUAGGCUCGUGAAUGGUCCACGUAACCUCUGGACGUAACACUCAAACAAAGACAGCACAAGGCACAUGAAAAAUGCCUAAAAACCGUAAAACCGUGACGUGUUCAACAUAUUAAUAAAUUUAUACUGUGUUUUCUUUUUUUUUUUAAUACUGUGUUGAUAAAGCACUUACGAUGGAACGACCAAUUCUAUUACUUGCAAAACUAAUUAAUAUUUCACUCUAUCAUCUAACUAAUGGAAGGCCAUCUUAAUUGAGGUUGCAAUAGUUAGAAAGUAGCGGGAAGGGUGGCCAAUGCUCCAUAUUAAUUUGCAUCAAUCCCUUUCUGGUGAAGAAGUACGGGUGAAGUAGAGGUCAAAGUUAGAAGAUGAAGGGUGUGUUUGGGAAUUGAGAGUGAGGUGCUGUAGUUUUUUAGCUGCAGUUGCUGUGAAAUAAAAGUUAUAACUGUGGAAUAGAAGUUGAGAAAAAAAAUUUGUUAAGCUGCCAAAGCCCAGUUACAAAUGUUACCAAACACCUUAGUAGCUAGGCUUUGGCAGCCCAUCUACCCCAUCACACUCCCAAACGGAUUAGAAGGGGACCGGGAUUGCUUUGUCAUAUUUGAAAAUGAUUUUGAAAAAAUAAAAAUUAAGUUCAGAAUUUGGUAAAUUCCUUUAAAAUUUCUUUUAGCAAAAUCACUCUCUCCUUUAGAUUUUGAAAAGUAUGGAAUGAGUAGUUUUUUAAAAUUUAAUUUUGAAAUUCGGAUUCAUAUUUAAUAUAAUACCAUAUAUCAUAACAUGUAUUAUAAAAAUCUAAAAUUAUCCUUAUUCAAUCAAUUAAGAAGUAAAAUCUUACAUUUAAAGAUAUUAUCAUUAUCAAUUAUAUUUAGAUAAUAAAAAAUACAAUUAAUAAAAUAAAAAUAUUUAUUUUAGUUAUCAAUUAUUAUAUAUAUACAUAAAAUGUAAUUAUAUAAACAUAUUUAUAAAUGUAUGUGUAAAUUAAAUUUGUAGAUUUAUGUUUAUAUAGAUCAUUUGCAUUCUUAUCACAUUUUAAAAGUGAGAUUUAUUAAAUAUAUAUAUGAUUAUUUUUAAAAUUUACAGCACUUUUUAAAACAAAAGUAUCAAAAGUUUAAUUGAUUCCUUAUUUUUACUGUACAACUAACAGUAAGAUGUGUUUGGUUCAAGUAUAAAAUGAUGGGAUUGGACAAUUUUAAGAUUAAAUAAUCCUAAUGCAAUGUUUGGUACCAAAAAUAAUUGUGGGAUAAAAAUAGUGGACCCCACCAUUUAAUCCAACACAAUGUCAAAAUUUUAUCACAAAGGGGGGUGUGGGAUAAGCUAAAACUUAAACGUAGGAUAACAAAAAAAAAGCCCAAAAUUUUAUACAACACAGUGAUUUUUUUUUUUUUUUGAGUAUGUCAUCAUCCAAUGAUAGUAUAUAUGCCAGAACACUCUUUUGACGUUAAUGAUAUGUAAUAUUUUCAUAUAUACAGCUAGUGACAUUGUUAUGUAAUUUCUUUUUCAUUUAUAGAUUUAUAUUAUUAUUAUAUUUGUUGAUGAUAUUCUUGUUAUGUUUAUAAUUAUAUUAUUUAGUAAUUUAUAAGUUUAAAAACUAUAACAUGUUAAAUAUAAGAAAAACUUUAAGCGAAGAUUUUGUAUUUUUUAACAAAUUUACCAAUAAUUUUUUAUUUAAGUUAGAUUAUAUUCCAUGUCAUUUUAAAAUAAAUCUAAGAUAAUUUUGAUAAAUUAAUAAAUAAGACAUAUUAUUAGUUACUAACCAAUUUCAUGGCAUACCAAACAUGAGAUAUGAUUAUUUACAGUCUAAUCCAACAUUGCACCAAACGUAAUAGAGUAUUAUAUAUAAUCCAAUGUUAUCAAAUCCAAUCAUAUCUUAUCCAAUCCGAUCCGAUCCAGUCUAAUCCAAUUUGACAUACCAAACAAGCCCUAAUUAUGUUAAAAACUACAUCAUUACCAAACUGACCCUUAAUACAAUCUCAUACAUACAUACAUAUAUAUAUAUAUAUUAAAAAUUAAAAAUUAUCUUUAUUUAGUUAGGAAAUAAAACCAUUAUAUUUAAAUAGAUUAAUAUUAUUACUAAUUAUAUUCAGAUAACAAAAUUAAUAAAAUAAAAAUAUUUGUUUGAUUUAUCAAUUAUUAUACACACAUAUUUAUAAAUGCAUGCGUAAAUAAAAUUUUAUAGAUUUAGGCCAAGGCGGAUGUACGGUACAGCAGUAUCUUUAUUUAGUUAGGAAAUAAAACCAUUAUAUUUAAAUAGAUUAAUAUUAUUACUAAUUAUAUUCAGAUAACAAAAUUAAUAAAAUAAAAAUAUUUGUUUGAUUUAUCAAUUAUUAUACACACAUAUUUAUAAAUGCAUGCGUAAAUAAAAUUUUAUAGAUUUAUGUCUAUUUAAAUCAUUUGCAUUCUUAUAACAUUUUAAAAAAAGAAAAGAAAAGUGAUUUACCAAAUACAUGUAAUUGUUCUUCAAACUUACAACACUUUUAAAAUAGAAUUUAAUAAAUGUUUAAUUAAUUUUUUCACAGCUGAUUAUUUUUAUGGUAUAACUAACAAUAAUCUAUAAACUUAUGGUAAAUAUUUGUGUGAAUGUUGGUCCAUGUAAAGAAGUAAAAACAACGCAUAUAUCAAGCAAUAAGAUAUCAAAACUCUUAGUAAAAUACAUAUACUAAUGAAAGAAUGACAGCAAUGCAAUAAAUAAGAUUAUAAUAUAAAUUAUUAAAAUUGUAUAUUAAAAAUUGAUGUAUGAAAUUCUUUUUAUUUUAGUGAUAGAUAAUGUGAUAUAUUUGAAUAAUUUGAUUAAAUGAAAAGAAAAAUAACAAGUAUGGUUGUGGAGGAAAUAAACCAUUGAACUGUGGAAUGUUAUUAAUUAUUGCUAUUUCAUUAUGUAACGUCCUGAUAAUAAGUACAGUGUUAUAGUAUAUUGAUGGGUGGUGAUAUUGUCACCCCUUAAAUUGUGUAAAGUCAACCUCAUUUACAAAUUUUUUGAUAUAAAUUAAAAAGUACAUUAGUUUUAAUAAAUUAUAUAUUUAUUGAAUAAACUAGAACCGUUAGGGAGCUGUAAUGUUAGCACUGUUUUAACUUAUUAUAAAAAAAAAAGUUAUGAUUUGAUCAUAACUCUAAUUUAGAAAAGAAAAAAGAGUUGAAUUGCUAACAUACUUAAAAAUAAAAUAAAAACAUUAUUAUUAGAUGAAAAAUUGUAAAACUUAAGGGGGCAUUUGCAAGUCCGCCACUACUCAAUAGAGCAUUAUUCAGUACUCGUUAAUAUAUCUCGAACUUUUAGGUUUUUUUAAUAUAUUUUUAAUACAUUUUCUAGAACAUUUAGAUAAAAAGAGUCAGUACUCCAAUUGAGUUGUGAAUAAACAUUUAGAUAAAAAGAGUCAAUACUCCAAUUGAGUUGUGAAUAAACUCAUGUUAAAAAAAAAAAAACUCAUUUUCACACUUGAAACGAUUAGUAAAUGGGUGAUACGAAUUUAACUUGGUCAAUAAUAUAUACCAUCUUAAGUUAACUUCAACUCAUUGAUCUUCUAUAGGGUUGAUCAGCCUGCCACAAGGCCCACAAAUUAUCACCUCUAAUGCUUUUGCAACAGUCGUUAUAAAUGCUGACAAAAUGAAACUUCUAUAUAUUUUGGUUUUUUUUUAUUUCUAUGAAAUAUAAGGCCCUUAUGGCAAAUUUCCAUCCAGCGUGAAAUUUGCUAGUUUGGCCUUGGUACUGUGGCACAUGCGUCAUGCAUGCGUGGCUGAGAUGCUUCUAAAACUAAUAAAUUAUGAAGAAUUCCAAAUUCGUACCAAAAAUAAGAGAAUAGGAGCUUGUCAUAGGUGUCCGCGGAUCGGAUUUUAUGGGUUAAACAUUAAUUCAUAUUUGAUUCGUGAUUUUGUAGAUUAUAAAUUUUUAAUUUAAUUCAAUUUAUGGAUUAGUGAAACUCAAUACAAAUUCAAUCCAUAUAUAUGCAAAUUAGAUGCGGAUUUAACCCAAUGCAUAUUCAAUCCAUCAUUUGGCGGAUUGAUUUGCAAAUUAAAAGUUUUUAAUUUUGUCCAAUCUAAAAAGUAAUUAAAUUAAAAAAAUCUAAUAUAUAAAUAAUUGAUUAAAUAAAAAAAUCUAAUGUAAAAAUAAUUUUACUACCAAUUAAAUUCAAAAUUGAACAAGAUUUAAAUAAAUUUAGAAUAAUACAUUCAAAAUUUUAAAAUAUAACACACCGAAAAAAAAAUUCAUUUAUUUAGAUCAAUACAUGAAAAUUAACUAAAAUUAUGAAUUUAAAUGUUGAAACUUGAAAGCUUGGAUGUAACAGGAAGAAUUUAAGAAACUUGAAGAGCUUGAAAAGAAAGUAAGAAAUUAAGUUUAAUUACCUCAAGUGGUGAAGUGAAACAGUGAUUGGCUUGUGCGUGCGGUGGGAUAGAGAUUUGGUGUUAUAUGUCAAAAUAUUUUGUUUGGCUUGGGGUUUUUGUUUUGCUUUAGAAAUUUUAAUGUUUAGGAAACUAUAUUUGCUUAUUUAAUUAUUUCUUAUUUUAUAUUGUUAUCGAAUAAAAUAUAAUAUUUUGUUAAUUUAGCUAUAAUUUUAUGCUGAAUAUAUUUAUUUAAAACGAUUUUAUUAAAUAAAUGUGCAUAUUUAACGAAGGUCUCUGAAAUUUCAACCUGCCUGCUAAUGAUAGCCAAUACGGCACGACCCACCAAAUGUCGGCCCACGCGGGCUUGUGGGCCAUGACGACUUUUUUUGUAAGGGCCCGGCACGGCCCACGGCACGAGUCCGUGCCCAAAAAAAGCCCACCUACCUUUUUUUUUUUUGUCCACAUGUUCAGCGUGCCUAAAAAAACCCACGUGCCUGACGUGCUUUUUUAAGCCCACCAGCCUAAUAGUAACAACAACAACAACAAUAAUAAUAAUUUCAUAGAAAUAAUUAAUGAAAAAUAAAAUAACAAUUCUAGAAUAACAAUUACAUCUAAUUUUAUUUGAACAACUAAUAUUAUAAUUGCACAUAAACUCUAUUGAAUGAAAAUGUAAUUUUUAAUUUAUUAUAAAAAUAUUUUGUUCAUAAUUUUAUUUUUUUGUGCGUAAAUAUGAAAAAUAUUUCAUUCACAAAUGAAACAUAUCUCCAUUAACUAUUAACUAAGUUAUGAUUUCAUAAAUGAAAUAUUAAUGUCGUAAAAUUUUUUAUUUAUCAUUUAUAAAAUCAUGAUAUUUAUUUAUCCAUUUAAUAAAUUAUAAACAUAAAAAAAUUAGAAUACUUAUUUAAACUAGGACUUAAAUUAAUUUUAAAAAGCCUAUACUAAAAAAAUAUAUUAAAAUUUUUAAUUUCAAGGUAUUUAUAAAAUCAUGAUAUUUUAUAUUUAUUUUUCAUUAAAAAAUUUUAUUUUGAUAUACUUUGGCCCACGUGCUAUUGGUGGCCCACGGGCCGCGUGCUUAGCCCACCAAUAAAGUGUGCUUAUUACAUGCCUUUUCGCGUGCCGUGUUUUGCCCCAUCUCUAAUCAUACCGUGCUUUUAAGGCCUGCGUGCCUAAAAUUCUAGGCCCGCCAGCCGUGCCGUGCCGUGCCGUGCCUCGUGCCGCCUGGCCCAUUGGCCAUCCCUACUGCCCGCCAACCACAUUUGUCCAAGAUCAAUUUGUAGGAAAAAAAUUUGAAAAUCAAUAAUUUAUUUAAUUAAUUGUUAAUGUAGGCAUUUGAAUCCCCACAAAAUCUGGGUGUCAGUUCUAGACUUCUGGUGAUAUAUUUUUCUAAUUAAGGAAUAAAAUAUUUUUGUCAUUUUUUUAAUAUUUUAAUUUACCAGGCAUAUCAACUAAUUAAUUUUUCUACUUAGACUAUUAAUUCAUUACGUGCGCAAUCUGUAGCCCGGCGCUCCAAUCCCAUGCAUGUUACACACAACUCAAUCAUUAUUUAUUUAUUUAUUUAUUUUGACCAACAACUCAAUGUUUUUUAUAGAGCUGUCAAAAUUUGACACGACCCGAUUACCCGACACGAACACGACAUAAAUAAAUGGGUAUGGGUCGUCAAAUUUAACACGAUUAUUAAAUGGGUCGGGUCCGGGUCAACACGAUUUUUUUCCGUGUCGGGUUUUGGGUUAAAAUUCUUGACCCAUUUACCCGAUCAAUGACCCGAUUAUAUUUUCUAUUUUAAAAUAAUUUACAUAUUCUUAUAAUUAAAACUCAAAUAUUAGAGAUGAUUUUCUUUUUUUUUAUUCUUUAAAAGGGUGAUAUAUUUUAUAAUAUCGAUAAAUUAUGUAUGUAUGUAUUUAUGUACAUACGUAUGUAUGAUAGUGUGGAAAUAUUUUAUGUAACUUUUGUUCAAUAUAUAGAUAUUAAACGGGUUAUUGGGUAACCCGAUUAUUUUUCCGUGUCGGGUUUGGGUCUCAAUAUUUUGACACGAUUAUUAAAUGGGUCGGGUUUGGGUCGACCUAAAUUUGACACGACACGAAACUGACACGACAUGAACACGACCCGAUGACCCGUUUUGCCAGCUCUAGUUUUUUAAUAUGAAAAGGUAUUGGUUAGCUUUGUCUUUAGUUUUUUCAACUUAUAAUAAGUUUGUAUUAAGGCUCCCUUUGGUACAGAUUUUCAAGUAAAACUUAUUUAGGGUUAUUUUUAGGGACCUCCCCUGAGGUUUGGUGUAUUAACAAUCUGAUAGAAAGUAUUCACGUAAUUACAAAGACCUCCCCUGACAUUUGUAUUAUGUUAAGUGGACUGUUAUUGACUAUUGAAAAUCCAAAAAUACCCUUCCUGCCAAAAUAUUUCUUUAUUCACUGAUGAACUGAUGGGUAAUUCGUGCCAAAAUCACAAAUUACUUAAGAAGAUGAAAAUAUCCAUUGGAUAAAAAAAAUGAAAUUGCUUAAUAAAAAAAUUGACAUUGCAUAAUAAUAAAAAAAAUUGAAAUAAUGUGCGGCGGCAUAGCUGCAUCUUGCAUGCAUAUUAUUAUUGUGAUUUUUUUAUUACAAACUCCAUCCUGCAUGCUUAUUAUUAUUGUGAUUUUUUUUAUUACAAACUACUUCAUAACUAAUACAUGCCACAAGAGCAGAGCUAUUAAAAGAAAUGAUUUUCAUAUUGUAAACUUGAUAGUACAGGUGUUGGCACCGACCAUAAAACCCUUAUGAUACCAAUCUUUGCUCCAUCCAUAUUUAAAUCCAGAUCAAGUAAAUAUUAAAUUGGAUUUCAGGUCCUGAAAAUCCCACUCUAUAAUUGAUAUCUUCGAGUUUUGUUGGUGCCUCAAACCUGGAUCUAGAGCAUCAUCUCUGUCAUACUCGGAACACCUAAACUAAUGGACUUGCUGCAGCUGCUUAUUCUUCUUCUGAAAUGAUGCACGCAGAUAGAUUACAGACUUUGAAAUAAGAAAUACAAUAAACAACAUGUAAUCGAACUUAAGAUUUCGGCAAACUUGUUUGAAAAUUAGAAUCAAACAAGGAAAAUGGCAAGUCAAUAUUUUUUAAUCUAGAAAAAGGGCAAUUUCAAAGUUUAUCACAUGCCAAAUUCAUAGUCUUGCAUCCACUAUUUUCUAGUUUGAAUAACAAACAAAAGCCUUAGACAAAAACACAGAGAACAUCUCACAUGGGAGCAAAAAUUGUGUGUAGAACAAUAUACUUAAGUUACAUGUGAUUACAAUCACAUUAUUUAGCAAAUACAAAAUUACCUUCUCAAAAAAAAAAAAAAAAAAAAAAACACCACCAAAUUAUUGAAGGUAUUACAACAAUAAGGCAAAAGAACACCAAAGGCAUGCACAAACCGAAACUAACACACAACUCAAUUAGUGUCAUGACCCCAAACUGAACAAUCAUAUAAACCAUUGUGGGCUCUCUAAAAGAUUAUCACAUUAUAAGCAAACAGAAACCUAUAUUUGAUGAACUACAUCUAGUACUUACACAACUCUUAAAUCAUUAGGAAAUUGCUCUUAUCAGUCAUUACCCAAUAGUUUUUUUCAACUCAACACUAACAACCCCAAAGAGAAACAACAUCCAGCACCAUUUUCAUUAAUUAAAACAGACCCAUUGUUAUUUUUAAUCAAUAAAAUAACAACAAUAUCGUGUAAGCCACUGAUUCAAGCAUUCAAGCUGUGUUUUCGAAGACUGACCUCUUCUUGCUAUCUAAUUCCAGUCACGAUAGACGCUAGAUGCCGGCAAUACUCGCUUCUUGGAAGCUCUGGACCACCGCACGACGUCAUCUUGUGCAGUAGAUGAAAAUAAAUCAAUGAUUUCAGAAAUUAUUUGUGAGUUGCAGACGCUUCUUCUCCAUGGAUGAAAAUGAUGGUGGGUUUUGUUCAAGUGUAAGCUGUGUUUACGAGGAGAAGUACACUUUGUGAAAAAAUCAUUUUCUUUCAUCUACUGGAUAAUGACUUUGGACUGGGUAAUGGUGUGUUUAAGUCUCUAUUUCACGGACAUUGAAGCAUAUUUUGCUUGAAUUUUGAUUUUGUUUAAAUUUCAAGUUUACUUUUACUUGUUUACCCUUUUAUACUGACGCUUAUGUAUUUUUAUACUAACGUUAAGGGAGGUCUUUGUAAUUAUAUGAAUACUUUCUAUCAGACUGUUAAUACAACAAACCUCAGGGGAGGUCCCUAAAAAUAACCCAACUUAUUUAAAUAGAACUUUUACAAAAAAAAAUUUAGUUAUUUGGUUGUCAAUAAACUUUUCAAGUAUACUUUGUUUGGUACAGCUUUUCAAGUAAAACUUAUUUAAGUAGAGCUUUUACAAAAAAAAAAAAAUUAGUUGUUUGGUUGUCAAUAAAAAUUUUUAUUAAAAAAAAUAUGAAAUUACUUUAUUAGUCAAGUUUUUUUAAAGUUAUGCUAUGAAAAGAAUAAAAUAAGAUUGUCAAAUAAAUAGAAAAUAUUUUAAAUAUUUUAACAUUUAAAAAAACUUUUUAACCUUUAUUUUCAAAAAUCUAAAAUUUAAACUUUUACUAGUAAAGGCAAAAUAAUUUAUUUAAACUUCAAAAGCUUUAUUAGAAAAAUAAUCAAACAAUAACAAAAAUUAUUAUAAAAGCUUAUCGAAUUAAAUAAGUACUUAUAGUUAUUAAAGAAGUUAUAUCUAACAGACACUAAUGCCGAAAGCCCCUUCUAAUUGUGGGUGUAAAAGUUUGAAUUAUGCAUACGGUUAAGGAGUUAAGGUGUGUUUGGCAACUGCAUUAAGUGGAAAUUUUUAUUUUGUUUCGAAUAAAAAUACAGCAAGCUCGUGUUCGGCUCAAAAUAAUGGAACGUUUAAUUUGCAACCGUCGGCGGACGAAGCACACCGUUCACGGCCCUUCGUAUAAAAUUGCAUAUGUAAACGUAAAUAGGUCCGGAUUCAGAUUCGUUGCUGUAGAGAGUGGCACGCACGAUCGGGCUGCUGUCGGUGGUAGGUUGGCAUUGGAAUUCUCAUCACGCGCUUCCCCAGGCGCCUACUUAUGGCAAAUUGACACGUGACGCGUGUGGAUUGAAUGGACAGAGUCCCGGGCAGUGUGUCCAAAGCUGCCAACCGUGCUCUGAUUUUUGUCAUCCAUAAUGGCUAACGACUAACGAGGGAGAUUUCCGGGCAGAAAGAAAUUGUUGUCGUUUCUGAAGGGGAAAAAAAAGUUAUUUAAUUUGUUGUUGAAGACAAAAUGAAGAUCUAAAUAAAUAAUGGCUAAUUUUGAGUGUAAAGCAACGGUAAAUGCAUUAUUAAAUUAGAUUUAGGGUCUGAUUGAGAUUAUUUUUAGAUUUAAAAUUAAUUUUGAAAAGUUAAAAUUAAUUUUGAUGUUUAUUAAUUUUUAUUAAAAAUUAUUUUUGUCAAAAUCUCUCAUCCUCCAGCAUAUUAUAAAAAAUAAGGAAGAAAUAAUUUUUUAAAAUUUAAUUUUAAGAAUCAGUUUUAUACUUAAUAUAAUCCACAUAUAUCCUCGUAAAUAUUAUAAAAAUUUAAAAUUAUUCUUAUUUAUUUAGGAUAUAAAAUUAUUAAAUUCAAACAUAUUAUUAUUAUUAUUAUUAUUGUUAUUAUUAUUAUUAUUAUUAUAAAUUCACACACGCACACACAUACUUAUAAAUUUAUAAAUAAACUUUAUUUAACAUUUUGUUCACUUAAAUCAUUUAUAUUCUUAUAGCAGUUUAACAUUAUGAUUUACCAAACACAGAUAAUUAUUUUUAAAAUCCAUAAUAUUUUUUAAAAUAAAUUUUAAUAAAUGUUUAACUUAUUAUUCUGACAACUGAUUUUUUUUGUAAGGUAUAACCAUUAAUAAUAAAUAUUUUAAAAGUUACAGUAUCCCCAAAUUGGCCCUUACUAAUACUCUGCGUUGCCAACUAAAUACUAAUUGUAACAUUAAACAUCUGGAAUAUUUUUCUCUAACGAAACAACACAAUUAAUUUCCCUCUAAAAAAGAAAAAGAAAAAGAAAAAAUAAACUACCAACCCCACCCCUUUAGACAGCAGAGUUUUAGCUGAGGCGGCUUGCUUGCAUAAGCAUUAAGGCUGCUCUUCACCAACCAUUGAACAUUCUUUCCAUUUGAUUGUUACACUUUACUUCGCCAUCUCAUGUCCAUGUACAUUGUUUUGAAAUGAAGACUUUGCGUACAACUAAUCUUUUUCAAUUCAUAAUAAAAACUCUUUUAAUUAGUUAAUAGCUAUAGCUUCCAAUUGAGACUAUAUAUAAAAAUCCAUAUUGACUGACCAAACCAAUAAUUUUUAAUUGGCUUGAGCAUUGUCUUACUUACUUCAAAAUCGUCACUCUCUUUGAAAAGAACAUGAGAGAGUUCACCUCCAUCUCAACCCUUAACCCUAUAUCUCAGUCAAGAGAUUAUUCAUGGAAAAUUCAGAAAAAAGAAAUGUUGCAAUAUUUACGAAACUCACGUCACGUGAGGUAAGAUAAAUUAUUCCUUUCUGCUUUAAUUCAUGUACAUAAUCAUGAGAAUAACUUUAAUUAUAGUUUAUUUCUCCGUUUUAAGAUUUUUCCUUUUUUUUUUUUAAUUAAUUAAUUAUAGUUCAUUCAUUAAUCCCAUAAGAAAUUAACACCUUUGCCGGUAAAGUCACACAUACAACAAUAUUUUAGAACAAAAGGGAAGAUCAUGCACGAUCAUGAUGUUUUAUUAUAUCUCUAGCAAUAUAAUUAUCUUAUAAUUAAUUAAAAACAAAACAGGUAAUUAAGCCAAAGUGGAUGGCAUGCAUCAAUCAUCAUGCAGAACACCUCCCCUUGUUUUAAAUAUAAAUAAAAGAAAUUUGUGCCCAGAAGACUUAAUUAAUACUUCUCGUUUCUGAAGUGCUCACAUGAUAUAUAGUCGGACGCAUUAUAUUUAAUUUCAUGAAUUAAUCGUACGGUUGUAUUUUGAGAGAGAGAGAGAGAGAGAGAGUGACUGAGUAAGAUAUGGCUUAAUUUAACCAAAUCUACGUAUAAAAUUUUAAAAUGAAUUUUUGAGUUUUAACUUAGGAAUUGUCUAUGAAUAAAAGUGUUAAUCAAAUAUUUCGUGUAAAAACAGUCAGCUGUAACAUUUUCGGUUGCUUUAACAAAACUGUAUAUUUCUGUAAUUUCCUAUAUGGGCCAAAAGGAACAUUUUUCUCAGAAAUUAAAAACUUAUGGUGAAAAAGAUAAGAAAACCAACAGGUUCAAAGGUGCGAGUAAACUGGGCUCUGGUGCGCCCAACUCCCUCUUUUGAUUUUGAGACUCUAUUGACCAUUGAGUUUGAGGCCCCAACGGCCCAGUUUAAAACUGUUAUGAAAAGAAAAAAAAUAUAACUAUAAAAUUAAAAUUAAUAAUGUUUGAUAAAUAUAAUUUUUAAAUAAUAAUUUGACAAAAAUAAUAUAGGGUCUUGUGUAUAUUUUUAUUUGGCAUUUCAAUUAAUCUGCUUAUAUAUAUAUAUAUAUAAGUUAAUCUAUAUUUCUUGCAAGAAGAUAGUAUUUCUUUAAUUAAAGUCAUAACUAAUAUAUAAAUUAUCAACUAACCAUCAAACAUUUAUCUCAUUUUAUCUCCACCACGAUCAUCACCAUUCAUCCUGUCACGAUCUUUAUGUAACUACAAUUAUUUUUUCUUUAAUAAUGUCAACCCACCAACCCCAUAACAAUAUCUCCAAACAUCUCAUCUCAAAAUUCCUAAUAACAUAAGUGUUUAUGUAUGAAAGAAAAUGUGAAAUAUAUAAUCAAAAAGUAGUUUAAUAAUAUAAUGUUUAAAAAUUAUGGUAAAAAUAAGUGAGAGUUUGGCAUGGCAAGUUAAUAAAAAGAUAAAAGCUCGGACACUUGAUGCAUCAAAGUAGCAAUGUCUGUCCAUCAUUAUCAUCAUGCGGGUUUAGGUGCUUCUCAUGAUAGCAUUAGCUGGUAAGACCAUCAUGCAUCGUACUUUCAUUGUUAUACAUUUUGAAGGUAAGAAUGGUUAUGUUACGUCCCUCCGAUUAGGUGUAUUUUUCUUCUUCUUCUUCUUCUUUUUCUUCUUCUUGUACGUAAUAAUUUCUCUUUCUUCCAUGAAGAUUUCUUUCUCUCUUUCUUUUUUUUUUUUUUAUUAUAAAUAAAAUGAUAAGAACUAAUUUCCUUACUAAUUGGUAGGGUCGUUUAAUGGUUCAGAUCCAUUAGAUUUUGUCAAAUUCAAGUCCAAUCCAUCAUAUAUUCCAUUUUAUAUUCCGGAUCCGAUCACUAAUAGAAAUCCAUUAUAAUUUAAAACAAUAAAACGUCGAAUCCAAUUUAAUUCGAUAUGAUCAAUCCAAUUAAAAUAAAAAUUUACAAAUAAAAAUCAUUAGUUGCUCUCUCCAGUUAUAAUUCUUAACAAUUAAAAAAAAUACAAAAUAUCAACUCCUUUAAUAUUUCAUGAUUCAUGUACUUUAUUAUCAUAUGGUUGGAAAAAAAAGUUGAAAUUUGAAUAUUAAAAGCAAAUGUUGGUUGCGACCUGCUGUUUGUAUUCUAUAUUGUUAUAGUAUAUUUAUAGUUAUUUUUUUAGCAAGUUAAAUAUAAAAGUGACAUAUAGUUUUUUUUUAUAAAAAAAAAUAAAUAAAGAAAAUAAAAAAUUAAUUGGUUGGAUUGGUUUAUAUUGGAUUUGAACAUAUAGAUCCAUAGACCAAUCUAAUAACAUUAUAUUUUUUAUUUUGCAAUCUUAUCCAAUCCAAUCAAAAUGUCAAUAUGACAAAAGUUGGAUUGGUUUUGAUCAGAUCGAUUGGUUUGAUUGGAUUGAAUUGAAUUAGAUCUUGAACAUCCUACCAAUUAGACUUUCCGUGAUUUUUUUUUUUCCAAAUUUAAUAAAGAGACUUCCCAUGAAUGUUAAAUGCAGUUUUAUUGAUGAAUUCUGCAAUUUUAAGAAAUGUUUGAUACACGAAUAAUGCAUCUCAUCAACCAAGUAACUGCGUCCCCUGCAGCAGCCGCGGCUUCAACUGGAAUACUGCAGCCACACCGGUCUUGAGACUCAACAUUCGGCCGAAACUCAAGCAAAAGUUGAACAAUAUCAGGCCUGCUUUGAGCUAUAGCAAUAUGAAGCAAUGUUUGUCCCUGCGCACCAGCAGAAUCAGCUGGGUGGGUUCCAAGCAGGGUCACUCUGUUCAAGAACCUCUCUUAUCUCAUCCAUUUCACCAUCCUUAACUAGCUGAACCACAACAUGGGACCCAACAAACAUGAUCUUGAUUCCUAUUGAUGAACGCUGGCUUCUUCCUUCUUGUGAACCAGUCACCAGGAACCGAAUCAAGCAUCAAUGUUGCAUCUUUAAUUGCAGCUGCAGGAACGACAACGCUAUGCAAGAGGAAGGAAUCAUCACAGUGAGGGAAAGUAUGAAGGAGAACUGAUCCUGGAGGAAGAUGAUACGCAAUCUCUAUGCUUACUGUUCCGAGUGGUUGCAUUGACCUGAAUAGUUCGAUCUAUUUCUCGUGUAUCUACUUGCGCUGCACUUUCACUCGAAGAACCUACAAAAUUAUUCAUAACCCGGCAUAAAAAAGACGUAAAGUUUUCAGCGCGAGCAUGGUAACUUCAAAACCCGUUUCAUACCUAUCAUAUUUCAUUCGUCCCGCACCCUCAUUUAAAAGACUAGAGCUUAUAAAAACUAGAAGUACCUUACCCAGAACAUAAAAGCAGACAAAACCCAGUCGAGUAUAAAUAUAACGUUGAAUAACACCUACCAUUUACCAUUUCAUUCAAGAACACCACACAAUUAACGAAACCAACAUCGGUAUGUUUUCAGCCGUUGUACUUUCAACUUAAUUUUGAAAGCGCGGCAGCUAAAGCCUAAACUGUUGUUUGAUAAAAGUCCACCCACUGACUGCUACCUGGCGGCUACCGAUUCCAUUCAAUAGCAGUCAUAAAAUAAAAAGUACAAAACAAACCUAUGUACAAAAAAGGCAAUGAAGCAGCCAUGGAUUCAGUUAUUUGCAUGUUUGGGAUUGUGGUUGAUUCCAAAUUGAGAAUAUACUGCGAAAUUAUGUUUGAUAAGCAUUUAUCUGAUGAUUGCUACUUUAUUGAGUGCCUGUUUGGUAUGGCUUAUUUAAAAGCCAUAAGUGCUUAUUUAAUCGUAUAAGCACUUUUUUAAAAUUUUUAUGGUGUUUGGUUAUUUUUUUAGUAGAGUUUUUUUAGCUUAAAUAAGCUAAUUUACCUCUACUAGCAAAAGCCCAAAAUUUGAGCUUUUGGGAGUAGAGGUUAAAGAGCUUAUCUAAAAAAUAUAUAAUAAAAAAAAUAUCAUACAGUUUAAUGAUUCAAAAGUGUUUUUUUUAUUGACAACCAAACACCCAAUGACUUUUUGUCCAAAAACUCUAUUGGUAUAAGCUCUACUGCUAUAAGCUCUAUUGUUAUAAGCUCUAUUUAAUAAGCUGUACCAAACGGAGCCUAAAGCAUUCAUUUUUUUUUUUCGCGUUUGGCCUCUUCACUUUUUAAAAAAUUUUAUGGUGUUUGGUUAUUUUUUUAGUAGAGUUUUUUUAGCUUAAAUAAGCUAAUUUACCUCUACUAGCAAAAGCCCAAAAUUUGAGCUUUUGGGAGUAGAGGUUAAAGAGCUUAUCUAAAAAAUAUAUAAUAAAAAAAAUAUCAUACAGUUUAAUGAUUCAAAAGUGUUUUUUUUAUUGACAACCAAACACCCAAUGACUUUUUGUCCAAAAACUCUAUUGGUAUAAGCUCUAUUGUUAUAAGCUCUAUUUAAUAAGCUGUACCAAACGGAGCCUGAGUCUUCAAAGAAAAACUCAAUCAACUAAUGCUCGAUUUUUUUUUUUAAAUGACAAAUCAAAAAGUAUUUUGGAGUAGAUUCUCAAAAGAGUGAUUAUUUGAUAAUCCACCAUAAUCCCACUUAGUUAUCAGAAAUAAAUUAAAAUCCGACGAAUGUUACUUAAGCCAAACAGCAUUAUUUUAUUUUGACCACAAGGACCACAACCCUCAAGCUGUCAAGCAACCGUUACCGUUAACGACCAAUCUUUCACCUCUCCGAAUCUUUGCAAGUCACUAUCAAGCAACCGUUACUAAUAUUUAAUCAAUUAUUAGGAUUAUUGGAUUUCUCAAAUACCUUAUGUACUUUGGUUCACUUUCUACUAAAAUAAAUAUUACAGGAGCUUUCAAAGUCUAGGCUAAGGUUGUUGUAAACAUAGAGAGAUUCAGAGAUAUAACAGCUUGUAAUUACAUACCACAAAGCAUAACUUUGUUCGAAUGAUAAUGAUCAUAAUCCAGAUUAUAGACGUAGAGAGAGGAGAAGUCGUACUUGAGGGGCAAAACGCGGCGUUUUGGCUCGUGGAUGAGGUGCUGCUCCUGAUCGUCGUAGAUUGAAGGGAGGAGAGGUCGGUCGAGGAAGUUUAGGAGACGGUGGAGGCUGAAUUGGUGAAUUUCGAUGAAGACUGACGAAUCCAAUGGGGCUUGAGGGUUUGAUUUGCAAAGAUGAAAGAUAAGAGCAUUGUUUUGGUUUCUGUGCAAAAAAAAAAAAAAAAAACAUGACAAGCGUUGUUUUGGUUUUGGUUCUAAAAAGAUGAAAAUUUGACUGCAAUGGAUCCAUACGCAGUCGGUGUCAAAUAAGAGGAGAAACAAAUAUGUUAAUCACUCGCUCAAUCACUCAUGCGAAGUGCCUUUUUUUUCGUUGCUUUGGCUUCUGAGAAAUAUAUGCAUCAGAUAUUACAACUCUCGAGGAUAAUGCAUUUUGUUCCGGUUUUGACUGAUAUUUAGUGGCAUUUGAUAAACUGAUACCUCAGAACCUGGUAGAGAGUUUAUUAAAUACAAAGAGAACAAAAAUAUAUGACUAUAUAAGCUUUUACACGGUUGAAGAUCCGGUCAAAUUGGCUUUAGUUAGCAAGAUCAUUUAAAACUUUCAAAAAACGAAUGGUAUCAAAAAGCUCUGAGAAAAAGCGGAAAAAAGGCACCACAAAGAUCUUGCAAUUAUUAUCACAGCUUGAUAAGACAUGGAAAUGUAUCUUACAAAUUGGCCUUCCAAGCAUCAAAGAAUUGGGUGGCGACAACUCCCAUUCCUAGCUGCUACCGUGGCCAGUCCCUUCUAACUAAAAUGGGACAGGACCAAAAGCAAGGUCUCUCCCACUCUCCUUAUGUAUAUAAAAUUCCCUACAUUCGAAUAAAACUACAGAAAAAGAUUUGCACAUCAUCUUCUUUCACCUUAUUUUGCAAUCUUCAAGAGUUUGGAAGAUUUCAAAGCACUUGUUAGAAUGUAGCACUCCAUUAAGCAUUCUCACCUUCCCCACACCCCAAUGGACCUCCUUAAUCCUAUCGGCAGACCUACAAAUUCUGCUGCAACUCCAAUCAAAUAAAGCAACACAAUUGUUGCCUGCCUAAGCCUUCCACUCACAGCCUGCAAUGACAAGUUCAUGAUACAAAAUCAGAAACAUUAAUAAACAAAAAGAUAUUACCAUUACUUGCAGAGGGGGAUUUGUUGCAAUUAGUAAAUGCCAUACUUAUCACUUUCAUUGCAGAUAUCAUCAUCAUCAUAAUACUAGCAAUCCAGCACUAAUAGUCAGAAUAAUAAUAAUAGUAGCAUGAAUAAAGAAUUUCUGCAGAGUAAGCUCUAAAGAUGCCGAAAGUGUCAUCUAUUAUGUUAAUAAUAAAAAAGUCUAUCAAGAAUUCAAGGAAAGAAAACUCAUUAACAAAGAACUAAACUUUUUAAUAAUGUUUAAUAAACUACGUACCUAUGAUUUUCUAUUAUUAACAUAAAUGACACUACGUACAACUGAUUUUCGCUUUCUAAUGUUUCAAAUCAUACCGAGAAAUAUAACAAUUACCAAGUCAGUAAGUAGCACAAUUACUUAAUAAGACUUUGACUUGUCUAACCCAAAAUUGUACCCAAUUCUAUACUCUACCAUGAAAAGCUUAUGAAGCCGAACUUACUUUGACCAAACAGUACUAUUAGCUCAGUUAAAGGAAACCACAAUUGAACAAAGUUCAGCUGAAAUAACUGAACUAAAAAAACUUGAUAAAAUUAAAAGUAACUUAUAACAGUUUAGUAAAGAAGCAUACAAAACAUGAAGAUAAAUAAACAUAGGUCUAUUUUCUUGACACUACCAGGUCCUUUCCUUUUUUUUUUUUCAGAUAAGAUCUCGAUACUACCAAGUUUUGGAUUCAAAAUCACCAUAUUACAAUAAUAGUUGUGAUUCAUGGGAUACAAUAUGUAGCAGCUUAUAUGUCGGCAAUUAUAGUCAAAGAUGGUUGUCAAACAUCAUCGCAAAUCAAGAAGCUAAUAAAGACCAUGUCACACUACAUUAACAUAUAUCAGUUCUUUGAUACAAAGAUAUUGAAUGUUAUACAUUUCUAAUCCCAAGUCCUGAAAUACAAAACAAAAGUUCACUUCACACAGUCAUAAAGCUAGACUGCUAGAUAAAUGGACAAUAGGCAUUGGAUAUGGGUCAAUAAACUAUUAAGCUAAUUAAUGCACACGAAGGAAUCCGUUAGAGCUAGUAAAAUAGCCCUUACCAGAGAACUCGCAGAAGCAUUCAAUUUCCUCAAAGGAGAUAACUUACAACAUAAACAUUUUGAUAAGCAGCAACACACAUAAAAUAGCUUCACUCACUAGCAACAGAGCAACUUCUUCAACACAUUAAUAAAUCCAUUUUCAUUUUUAAACAACAAAAUAAUGCCCAGUUUCUCCAGCACAAAUAGGGUAAGCAGUAAUAGAAAAACAUGAUACAUAGGAAUUACCGGCCUCAAGAAAUCUCCAAGCUUUCUGUCCUCUGCUUCAAUUGCUCAAUCAAGAAUGCCCCAGACGUUGCGCUAGCGUGGUGGUGGAGCGUCGCGAAGCGUGUGGCGGCGGUGUCGGCGAAGGCAGGUCAUGAAGAUAGUUGGUGUCGCGCAGCGAAGGCAGUGCAGCUGGUGUCAUGCGGCGAAGGCAAAUCGCGUGGUGGUGGAGUUGGGGUCGCGCGGCAGUGGCGGUGCGGUGCUGAGGCAUAAUAGUGGCGGUGGCGUUGUGCGACAGUGGCAGUGUGGAGGCAGAUUGCGUGGAGCUGGCGGUGUUGAGGCAGAUCGCGUGGAGGCAGAUGCCGCGGUGGUGGAGUUGCUGUCGCGAUCAACGCCUGUGAAAGGGAAUGAAAGUGAAGGAGAUACCUACAAAAGAAAGAACGAGUGAAAUUUUUUUUUUUGUUCAAGGGUUUCAAACCCACAUAAACCCGACUCUCACACGGGUUCAGUAAGUUUAUGCGGGUUUGACUGCAUUACAAAUUGGUAUGACCACAACAACAGUACAAUGAUUGGUAAUUACCAAACAUGCUAUUUAUGUUGGUAUUAAAUUAAUUUAAUACAAUGAGGAGUGGUAAUAUCAUACAAUGAGGACUGUUAAAUAUGGUGUGUUUAAUAUGUUGUAUUGUAUUAUAUUAUUUUAAUACAAAUAUAUUAUAUUAUCUUGUAUUAUAAUAUAAAAUAAUGAAAAAUAUCGAAUUUCAAUAUAUAAAAAAAAAAUAAAUAUAUUUUGUUAUAUUCGAUCUGCUGUACGGCCAAGGCGGAUGUACGGUACAGCAGAUAAGAAUUUAAAUACAUACACUUAUAAUACAACUUAGUUUUUCCACAUUGUCGAGGGAUCAAAACAACCCAUCAUUGGAGUCCAAUAAGUUAUGUGGCGACACAAAAAAGUAAUUCUAUAUUUUUUACGUCAUAAAUAUGUAAAAAAAAUUGUAUUAUAUCUUAUUAUUAUUAGUUUUUUUUCUUCAGUUUUGACAAGUAUAGUUUUCUUGUUGAGUGGCUCAACAAGGCUGGUUACAAUUUCGAAAUAAUGUUCCAUCUGUAUCUGUUUUCCUUUUGUUUUUGAUUUUGUAGUAUAGUUAAUUUGUACGAAUUUGUUGCCUGGUUGGUUUUUAUGCUGAAAAGUCAGUUCAUUGGAAAUGACAGAAAAUUGUUUUUCUUUUUCAUUUUUACAGAAAGAGAUUUGCAACGUUAUAAAAGUAAGAGAUCCUAAGAGAUCCCUGAAUCAUAUUAAAUAUUAAACUUAAGAUACAGUCAAGGCUUUUAUUAUGUUACUAAUCAUGUAACGAAUAUAAUUAUGUAGCAGUCGUUAAAUACAAAUUUAACAGUUAUAAAAAUAACAUGAUUUUAUUAUCUUAUAUUUCUAUAAUCGUUGAAUUUUUAUCUGCUGUACCGUACAUCCGCCUUGGCCGUACAGCAGUAUUGAAUUUUAAAAAUUUAAUAUUAUUUUUUUAAUAUAAAUAUUAAAAAAUAUCAUAAUUCUUCAUAGAAAUCGAAGUUCAUGGCAUUAAAUUUUUAACGCCGCAUACAUAAUAAAAAAUUUGAUUCUCUAGUGCCAAUAUAAUAGAAUACAUAAAAACGAGACUGAGAAACUACGAAUAAAGCUCAUCAUCAAGGACUCCACAACAUUAUAAGAAGUACUAUGUAACAUUUGCCAAAUUACAACACCACAUCAAGACAUAUCACAAUGUAAAAUUUUUCCUAGAGAUUUGGUAAUUGAAAAACACAAUUCAAGUUGAAAACUGAUAGUCGACUUGAAAAGUUUUAACAUAUCCCAUAAAAGAAAUGUGCCAUGCCAAAAAUCCUAACCCUUGGCUCUUUGACGAUAAGAAAAUAUUGAAAAUUCCAAAGUACAGUGCAAUGGGAGAAAGAAUGCCUAUAAAGCUAGUAAAGAUAUUCUUAAACUACUAUUGGGAUGUUGGGCUGGUUGGUAGCAAAACCCAAACCCUGCUGCUGAUUUCCGAUACCACCAUCUUGGAUAAGCCGCUCUCCCUCCUCUUCCUAACUCCUAAGCCCAAUAUCUUUCCAAAACCUUCACAACCCACUCAUAAAUCUCAUUGUUGUCGUGGAUAUGCAAAUUCUCAAUCUUUUCUACUCCAUCACACUCAUCAAUCAUUUGGGUAUAAACAUUAACCCAAUUAUCCAUUCCUAUUUCCUUGUUAACCUCACCCACCUUGAAAAUGUUCUCAAGACCCUAUAGACAAACUGUGACGAUCCUUUGGUCCAGACAAACCAGAAGAUCACAGAGCGGUUUGAUGCAACCUUGGCUCACCAGGAAUCUGCAGGACCAUGGUACCAUAAGUGAUUCUAUCACAUGAACAUCAUUAGAUUAAAAAAAGAAAAAAAAAAGAAACAUCUAUCGUAUGAACAUUGCUGAGUGAAUAAAAGAAACAUACUGAAUAUGUUCAUGAGAUCCUCCAUAUGUGGCAUUUAAGACAGGCCAUGCAGCCUCCUUGAUUUCAAGUUCUGCAUGUUGAAGAAGAGGUGCACAAAAGGAAGGAUAAGGAAGGAUGAUAUUGGCCUCCAUAACAGCCUGUUGAACAAAAAUUCGACAAAUUAUAAUUAUGAGUAUAUUUAAGUAGCAAUUUUGUCAGAAUUAACUAGACUUGACUAUUGAGGAAGUCACAUUCAAAAAUAGAAAAGACGAGCAAGCAAUUGUAUUCAUGCUAUCGGGACCAAAAUACUAUGAUGCAAGCAAGAAAGAAAAACAUACAUACAUAUAAAACACUAUCUUUGAGUUGGGUAUUUUCUUUCAAUUUUGAUAAUGGCAACUUUGGAUUCUUCUGCUGAAUUACCACCACCACCACACCAUUGUAGUUUCACAUACUAAGAAAAGGCAGGUUCAGCUCCCGUGCAUGCCCAUAAGAAUAUGAUGUAUUAAUUAGAAGUAAAAUUAAUCUGUUCAAUUAAGUUCUCUCAUAUAUUUGUGUGCGUGUGUGUGUUAAUUAGUUUGCUUUCAAAUCUUUUCUCCCUUCUUAAUGAUAUAUAUUUUAAGCAUGAUAUCAACCACGAUGAAUUUAUUAGCCGAUUUUUAAUUAUACAUUCAGCAUGAUAUCACAAACCAAGAGCUUAAGUUAGCCUAAUUCUUCAUAAAUCUAAUAAUUGCAAUCAAUAAUAAUGCUGAAAAUACGAGUUUGAAUUAAGCUAGCAACUGGUUCUUAAAUUAUGCAAUAUGUAAUCAUAGGUUUACUUAAAGAUUAAAGCAUUUCUGCAAUCCAUUGUGCAAAAAGAUUAAAAAAAAAAAAAAUAGUUGCCAAAUUUUAUCUAAAUAAAAAUUCCUUUAGUGGUUAGUACUUGUGAAUUAUAGAAAUUAUUAUUAGUACUUGCUCAGCGCUUUUUAGAUUUGUACAGGUAGAUUACGCCAUUUCAAACCCGACCAUCCAUUUAGACAUACAAAUCCCCCCAAUUCCCUGUCCUCCGCCUUUACGCGACUCUCCACUGUAUGUGCCAACUAAUUAAUUUUUUAAUUACUUGUUUAACUAAUUAAUUCAUUUUCUCAAAAGCAAGAUUAAUCUAUUUGUUCAAAUCUGAAGGAGAUUAAGUUAAUUGAUUUUAUUGUAUGUAAAAAUAUACAAAGAACUCAUGAAGCCAACUAGAAAAAAAAAAAAAGACAAAAAAAAAAUCAAACCCAGAAAUAAAAAGACAUGCUUCGACAGAAAAUUAAUGAAAAUUAUACUGAUUGUGGUUCAAUUUGAUCAAACCCAAAUAAUAACCGGUUUGAUUGAUGACUCAGCGGCAAAGUGCAGGCGCAUCAGUGGUUGCACAGAUGAGUGUUCUCGUGCGGCACGACAAAGCAAUUGUCGGCGAUUGUGAUUGGUGAUGACAUCGAGCGAUGGGGGUAAUGGCAUCGGUCGUGACUUUGUGAUGGAGAAACGAAUGUUAGAUUCGUUCGAAGAUUCGUGUUUUGAUUGAAUAACAAAGAGAGAUUUUAUGAGUUUUAAUUAUCUAAUACGAUACCGCAUAAACCCGACUCGUACGUGGGUUUAUUUUAUGCGGGUUUCGGUGUACUAAAGCAGUAAAUUUAUGUGGUGCAAUUCAAACUGAUUUCACCGCCAAAAGAUCGUGUAAAUUUAAUAUUAUACAGGGUUUUAAUACUAUGUAAUCCAAUACACCAAACAUGCCCUUAAAAACGGAUAGCAAUCCGGGGCCUUUAAAAACGGAAAAUACAAGCAGAGAAAAAGAAAAGCCAAUUGUUCAAAAGUGCCUAAUAUGCCCACGGAAAAUUUUCGUCACGACCCACAGUUACUCGAAUAGGUAAUAAGACAGGAAUGCCUUUGUUUGUUCGAAUAUAGAAGCACAAUGGCUCAGAAAGGAUCCCUCCAAUCUCCUUGGCACUGUCAGCUGGGUGCGGAGUAGCUUGGUGGCAGCAACCAUGUUUGAGAGGGCUGGCUUCACCUCAGUGUACUUGCGAGUCUUGAGACCACAGUCAGGGUUAACCCACAAAAUGUUGGUUUCUAGCACAGUACGCAUCUCGUAGAUUCUGUCAACAAUUUCUUCGGUUGAUGGUAUUCUUGGAGAGUGGAUGUCAUAGACGCCAGGGCCAAUUGCAGCAUCAUACUGGACUCCCUCACGGAAGACUGACAGGAGAUUCUCAUUAGAACGAGAGUUCUCAAUGGUGAUCACAUCAGCAUCCAUGUCGAUAAUUGAGUGGAUAAUGUCGUUGAAGUUGGAGUAGCACAUGUGGGUGUGGAUCUGUCAAUCAAUAAACAAUAGAAUGAGAUACAAAAUCAACAGCUAAAUUAAAGAGAUGAGAUUGGAGAUUAAAAGGGUAACUGACCUGGGUAGUGUCCUGGAUGCCACAGUUGGUGAUUCUGAAGGAGUGGACUGCCCAGUCCAAGUAGAAAGCAUGCUCAGAUUUCCUGAGAGGCAAUCCUUCCCUCAAGGCAGCCUCAUCAAUUUGAAUAACGUUAAUGCCUGCCUUCUCAAGAUCCUCGACUUCGUCCUUGAUGGCCAAAGCAAUCUGGUAGCAGGUUUCAUGUCUGCAAAAUUGGCAGCGAUUGAUGUUAAACAAUGUUUCCAUUCCAAAAGGUUAACCAAUAGUGAACCAGUUCUCAUUUAUAUACCUGGGCUGGUCAUUUCUGACAAAGGACCAGUUGAGAAUGGUGACAGGGCCAGUAAGCAUUCCCUUCAUUGGGCGAGCAGUCAUGCUCUGAGCCCAGGAGGACCAGAAGACGGUCAUAGCCUUGGGACGGCUCACAUCACCAUAGAUGAUGGGUGGCUUCACACAGCGAGAUCCAUAGGAUUGCACCCACCCAUUGGCAGUGAAGGCGAAACCUGAUAACUGCUCUCCAAAGUACUCAACCAUGUCGUUUCUCUACAAAAACAAAUGUCCGAAUUCAAUUUGAGAUCCAGCAUACUUCGUAUGCAAUUAGAAAUGCAGAAACAAAAAUGUAUAAAAUUUUAUGUAAUUCAAAACCAGGAGACAUUGCUUUGCUUCCAUUGGGCAUUGCGAGACUCACCUCAGGCUCUCCAUGGACAAGGACAUCAAUAUCAAGCUCUUCUUGGAGUUUGACAACCUUGUUGAUUUCCUCCUUGAUGGAAGCAACAUAUUCUUCCUCAGAAAUCCUAAAAAGGACAAAUAGUCACGGCACAGUUAAUACAGUAGUUGCAGUAAUUUCACACAUGGCAUUGAAUGAAGAAACACCUCAGAUUGACUCACUUCUUAGCCUUGUAUUCACGGCGGACUCUCCUAAGUUCAAUGGUUUGUGGGAAGGAUCCAAUUGUGGUGGUUGGGAGGAUUGGAAGAUUGAGCUUCUUCUGUUGAGCAUCUAAUCUAGCACUAACGUUUGUAGCACGUCUGUGGUCUGAUCCCCUCAAAGCAGCAGCCUAAUAGACCAAGAGGAAGGAAUCACUGUUAGCAAAAAAGGAAAUUCUAAGGGACAGCCACAUCAUAAAAAUGGAAAACAAAUCAAUCAUGCCACUUACAGCCUUUUGAACUGCCUCAUUGGUCACUCUCGGGGAGGACUUUCUUGAAGCCUGAGCUGCAGCAUUGGCAGAGAAGAAUCCCUGGAAACAAAUGAUAAGGAGAACCAAAGUUAGUCUCAUUCAUAUCAUUUUAAAAAGAAGAUACAUAUGCAAUUAGUGGGCUGAUUGUGAGAGAAAAAGUCCCCAAAACUUUAAUCAAACACCAAAUGCCCAAGUUGCCAAAUGAUGUUUAAUUCGGAAAAAUAUAUUUAAAAACAUUCAAAUAUAAUUUCCCCUUCUAAAUUUUCAUUUUCAACAACAUAUUUUACAAGCCAAGCUCAACGUCAGGCCAAGAUUUUGUGCUCCUAUAAUUAUAUUUUACCAUAAAACUAGGUCCUUGAAAGGCUAAGAUUUUCUGACUCUUGUGACUAGUCAAAGCCUAAGAUUCUUUCAAUUCAUCCGUAGUAAAAGUAUACCUCAUCCUUUUGGCCAGCCAAAGCCUUGGCCAAUGCAUUGACUUCAACAACUUUCUGGGCAGCAAAUGCCAGCCAUGACUUGAUUUCGUCGUCGAGUUUGUUCUCAUUAACAAGAUCAACAGCAGUGUGAAGAAGUGAGCAGGAGGUGGAGACCACAAGCUUGUCUGCAAAGAAAAGUAAUAAAUUAUACAACAAAUCCCAUAAUAGAAUAAGAAAUAUUUAUCACAAAGAAAAAUGCAAGCAAAGGAUGUAUACCUUUGCCAACAACACCCUCAAGCCCCCGGAGAACACUAAGAGAAGCAGCAAGAUCAUUGGCCCAAAUGUUCCUUCCAUCAACCACUCCAGCAAAGAGGUACUUGCCAGCAGGGAAUCCACUCUUGAUCAAUUCAAGGGUCUUGGUUCCACGAACCAAAUCAAAUCCAUAAGCGGUGACACCCUUCAAAGAAGUGAGGGUCUGGAAUGCCUCAGCUGGAACAUCAGCAAAGUAGGUCUCAACAAGAACAUUCAAGCCAGACAGAGUUGACUCUAGUUCCGCGUAAGCCUCACUGAAUGCUUGCAAUUUGUGUGAGUCAAGAUCCGUAACAAGCAAUGGCUCAUCAAACUGAAUCCAGGAAGCACCAGCAGCCUUAAGCUCAGAAACAACUUCCCUGCAGAAGUGUUAAUUGGUACGACACGGAUUAAUGAUGCCACACGAUACACACACACACACACACACACACACACACACACACACACACACACACACACACACACACACACACACACACACACACACACACACACACACACACACACACACACACACACACACACAGACAGAGUUAUUUAGCACAUACACGUUUAUAAAUCUGUAAAUAGGUGAUAAUUCUUACUUGUAGAUCGGAAGGAUUUUGGGAAGAAGAGAGAGAACAGAAAAGGUCUUCUCAACCCCCCAGGCAGGCUUAGACAGCAACAAGUAUGACACAGGGCCAAUAAGCACUGGGACAGUUUCAACUCCAUGCUGCAGCAUUAGACAAGUGGUAGAUAUUAGCAUCUCACAAACUUGAUCUGACUGAUAGAAAGUUACAAGCAAGUUAAGAAUAUGUUUGAUGAAAUUUCAAUGAAAAAUCUUCAGGGUCCACAACAUGUUGACUAUACCCUUUUUAAGUAAUUUAUCUUAAGACUAUUUUGCAAACAGUAUUGCUUCCCUUUACAGAUCAAAUAAAUCAUACAACAUCUGAACGCAUUUCCUGAGCCAAAUAUAAGUUCAAAGCUCUAUAAUAAAUGUCAAUGACUCUAUAGUAAAUUCCAUCACAUUCUGAGCUAUGGAUGAGCAUAUCAUAUGCCAAUUUCAAGUUGAACGUAACCCAAUUUCAACAUAUUGUAGAUUCAAGUAUCAAACGAAAAAAAAAAUAUUGUAAAUAUAGACAGAACUGAGAACAAACACUCACCCCCUUAGCCUCCUUGUACUCAGUCACAGCCUUGUGGGAAGCGUAGGAGAACUUAACAUCGGGUCCCAAUUCAGGAACAAUGAAAUGACUGCAUCAACACGAAGCCAAACACACGUCAGCAUUCAGUACAAAACCAUUACACCAUAACUAACUUGAAAUGCCGCUCUUCCAAGUAGUGAAUACUUACUAGUUGGUGUCGAACCACUUGGUCAUUUCCAUUGCGAGAACAGAGGCGUUUCCUCUGGCCAUGGAGAAGUAAACAUCGAAUCCAAUCUCGCCGCCGUUCCAGUUAAACCUCGGGGGCACGGCACCGAGCAUUGCGGUGGUGUCGAGCACUUGGUCGUAGUAGGAGAAAGUGUUGCUGGGAAUGUAUUUGAUCCCGGCCUCGGACAUCUGUUUCCAGAUGGAGGAUCUGAGAUCAGCGGACACCUUUUGCAAAUCCUCGGCGCUGCUCUUGCCAUCCCAGAAGGAUUCCAACGCGAACUUGAGCUCCCUCUUGGGGCCCAUGCGUGGGUAACCAACGAUGUGAGAUGCCAUUUUACUGUCAUAAUCACGUCAUCAAUGAAUCGAAAAUCAGUCCCUUCCAUUAAAUCAAGAAAUUAUUAAUUCAAAUGAAUGGAUCACAUUGUAUAUAUAUGGGAUAAAUAUAAUUAUGAACAAAAGCGUCUAAUCAAUCACAAAAAGCAAGCGACUGCAUCAAAUUUAGGGAUCCGACCCGACCCGACCCGAUCUGUAAAUUCCGGUUUCAAUCGGAUUAAGAUGAAACCUCUAACCCGAUAUAGUUGGAUUUUGGCCAACUCGAUCGGAUCAGAUCGGAUCGGAUUAAACUUAGUCCAAUCCGAAAAAUUCAAAAAAUCAAAACUACAAUAAGUAUAAAUCUAAAUUUUCAAUUCAAUUUGAUCUAAUCUGAAUAUAUUCGAAUCGGAUCAAAUACUAUGCUCUGCUUAAACUUGGAUUAUAUUUUUUUCAAUUUGAUUAACCUAAAAUUCGAUUGGAUAGAUCCAAAACUGAAUUUAUCUACCCCUCAGUCAUCAAUCAAUUACAAAACCUAAAAUCCGAUUGGAUAGAUCCGAAACUGAAUUUAUCCACCCUUAAGUCAUCAAUCAAUUACAAAGGCGACUGAUGUUUAUACAAUGGACAAUUAUUAAGUUACAGCUCUUGUAAUUUACAACUUAUACAAAAAUAUGUGAAAAAUUGUGAUAGGCAGUACAGUGUCAUGAUUUUAUACAAAAAUAUGUAAACAAUUGUGAUAGACGGUAGAACCUCAUGAUUUUAUAAAAAAUACGUAAAAAGUUGGGAUAAGUAAUGGAGCCCGCAUAAUUUUUUAUCAGCUGCAAGUUGCAAGUUACAGCAACUGUAACUUAGCGACCCCGACUUCAAUGUAAAAUGAGAAAGUACUCCUCCGCAUAGUACCUGAUGCUCAAAAGUCAAAUCACACGAAAUGCAAAUAGACUUAUCAGAGCAUAAAACCUUAUAUUACUUUUUGAAAAACGAUUUGAAACAAGGGCAAAAUUACAGUGUAACCGUACUUAGUCAUUGAAUUCAGCUCACAAUUAUCAUUAUAGUUAGAUCUAAUAACUAGAUCCAACUGUAUCCACAGUUAUAUUGUAGUUAGAUCUGAUAACUAAAUCCAGAUCCAGCUGUCCCCACAAUUGUCAUUAUAGUUAGAUCUAAUAAUUAGAUUCGGCUGAUUCAGCUGUGAUGUAGUACCCUGUAGUGCCAUAACUGGACAAAGAAACAAACUGAUAUAUUUUCUUUUUUGAAACAAACUGAUACUAAUCCAAGAGUUUCAGAUGAUCGGUUUUUUUUUUUUUUUCUAUAGUCACAUCAAUAAUUAAGUACUUUCAGUCAUUUUCGAAGGAUUAAAACGAAAACUCUAAAAAAAUUCUGAGAAUGAAGAAUCCGAAAAUAGAUUCAGAAAUAGUAACACAAGUAGAGGUCAGAUUGUUUUUUGGAAAAGAUUAAUUGCAGAUCUGAUGAACUCAAGUCUAGAUCUAGCAAAAUCACGGCAGCCAAACACUAGAUCUAAGACUAACAGUCACUCACCAGUCGAUCAGAAAGUGAAAUCAAGUUCAAAAUUCUUUUUUUUUAAUAGAUCCAAAAGCUAAUAUACAUAUAUAUAUGGCAAAAUAUAUAUACCGUACCCGAGAAGGACGAGCAGAGAAAUUAAGCUUUUUUCGAGAGAACGAGAAAGAAGAGAGACGAGACUGUUAGAAAUUGCUGUCAGUUUAAUUUUUAUUUAUAGCCAAAAACCUAACCUUGUUUAGUGGUUACUGGUUACCGUCUUCGGCGGUGUUGAUCUGAGAUUUAUCAUUUUAAUUUCUUUCUCUUACUUAUUUAUUUAAUUUGGGUCCAACUACGGUGAAACUGUAGUACCGUGCUACAGUUAUUUUCAACCGUUUGAUUCACUUGGAUGGUGGGAUCCAAUAAAAUCCAAUAACUGGGUGCAACCGUAGCACGGUGCCGCAGUUGCACCACAGUUUUUCCCAUUUAUUUAUUAUGCUUUCAGUGCAGUUGGCAAAAACAUGGAGCUUACGCGCGCUUUUCUGAUGUGGCGCGUGAAUUGGAAAUGUGGUAGAUCUUUGUGGAUCCGCCGGUGCAGUGAAGAGUGAAGGAAAAAAGAGAAAAGUUAUCAUGCCAGAUCAUUUGAAGAGAGCCGCAAUUAGUAAUUACACCACAAUAUAUUUCUGAUUAUUUGCUUACUUUGAUGAUGUUUUUACUGAUUAGUAAUUGGAAUAUGUUAGAAUCUAAAUAUAGUAGAAUCAUAAUAGAGUUGAAUCAAAAUAGACUAUAAUUAGAAUGGAUAAUGGGAAUUAGAAGAAUUAUUUGCUUUAGUUGUGAGAAUCCAAAUUGGAAUGAACUAUAUUGUCGUUGAUAUGUUUACUUUAUCAUAGAAUAUGAAUGAAUUAUUACAAGUUACUAAACAGACCUUAAGUUGAUUAUUGUCAUUAUUUAUUUAUUUAUUAUUAUUAUUAUUAUUAUCAUCAUCAUCAUCAUCAAAAUUAUUAAUCUUAUUAUUAAUGUUAAUUAUAAUAAUUAAUAAUUAUAAUAGUAUUAUAAUAAUAAUAAUAAUAAAAGCAAUCAUAAAAUGAGAAUUUCAAGAUUUAAGUAGAGAUAAUAUAAUUAUUUUAGAAAAUGAGAAUUUCCAUGAGAAUGUGAACUCUAUUAAUCAUUCCCAAUUUGAAGUGGGGCCUGCCAUUUUGAUUCAAUCUCUCAUUUAAGCAAGUAAAUACGACAUUUAUUCUCAUUCCCUCAUUCCCACUCUCAGGUAGCGUUUGUUUUUUAACUUAAUGACUUAAAGUGACUUAACUUAAUUAAUUAAGUUAAUUAGAGGUGUUUAUUUUUAUAACUUAAUGAGACUUUUUAGAUAAUUUUGACUUAAUAAAAUGAGCCAAUUUUUUUUGGCUUUUUACUUAAUGGAGAAAUUUGAAUUUAGUCAAUUACUUACUAAUGUCAAAAAUAUCUAUGUUUUAUAAUUUAUUUUUCAUGUCUAUCCCAAAACUCACCCAUAGACAUUUACCCCACAUAAAAAUAUCCCUAUUUUUUCUUUCUUAUAUUAUAUACGAUAAAAUUUGAAAUUUAUGGUAUUUUAUAUAUUAAAAUUCUAAAAUAAUUAUGUAUUCACUUGAAUAUAGUUUUACUUAUAACUGUUAAAAUAUUGUGGUAUUUAAUAUAUUAUUUAUUUGACAUUAAAAUUUAAUAAGGAUACAAAUGUAAAAGUACAUAUUUUCAGUUUUUUCAGUUAAAAAAAAAGCAACUUAAUACUUAUUUUUCGAGAUUCAGACGAAAAAAUAAACAUAUUAUUCAUAUUCAGACAUUUAGAUAUAUUCAGAAUUCAAACUAAUUCAGGUCUAUUCAGAUUUUAGACAAAAAAAACAAACGCCACCUCAAUCAAUAAACACACCAUAAAUGUAGAGUUGUUACUAUUAGAAUACAUUAUAAUUCAUCACAAUUAUGAUAGGUAUAUACGUGUGUAAUAAUUUAUAUAAGAUGCUAAAUUUUGAAAAUAAUAAAAAAUCAUUUAUACAUAUUUAAAAAAAUCAUUAAUACAUUAAAAUGUGCAUCACAUAUACAUUUACAUAAUAGCAAUGACCAUAGUAUAAAAAAAACUCCUAAAAGAGAACGACUUCGUUAUUUAUGUUAUUUUAUAUAUUUUUAAUUGAUUAUUAAAAGGAUCAAUUGUUAAUUAUUAUUCUCCAAACAUAAUCACCGUUAAACAUUUAUUCAAUUUAACAAUAGGUAGAUGUUAAAUAAUAUUGGAAUAUUUAAUGAACAAUAUAAUCACUAUUGCAGUUGUUUUUUUUUUUUAGUAAUGGAUUAUUCGAAACUCAAAUUCAUUUUUUAGCCCCCUUACCUCUCUUAAAAUUCAAAUUUAAGUGACUAAACAAAUAAAACUGCUUAAAAUCUAUACGACUACAUCUUUGGGGACCAAUUAAUAUGGAUGUUUAAAUCUUGAUUUAUUAUUAAAUCUUUGAGUUUCAACCACUAAUAACAUCAUCAUCGAUUAAUGACAAAUAAAAUAAUACAUCAUCAAAACCAUUAAACACGUCCAUCAAUAUCAAAAACAAGUAAAAAGUUUAGCAUGUAUUUCAAAUAUACUUUUCAUCCCAAAAGUUGUAGAGAAAGUCUCGAUAUCAAUGUCACUAUGAGACGUAAUUUUAUAUUUAAAGUCAGCGCAACUUAAAAAUUACUAUGAAUGAAUAAUACACCAUAAAAAAAUUAUUUAUAAGUAUUUUCAUCAUGUAUUUUUAUUUAACAAUGGUGACAUUUAUUUUUUAACUUAAUGACUUAAAGUGGCUUAACUUAAUUAAUUAAGUUAAUUUUAGGUGUUUGUUUUUAUAACUUAAUAGGACAUUUUAGAUAAUUUUGACUUAAUAAAAUAGGCCAAUUUUUUUUAACUUUUUACUUAAUAGAGAAAUUUGAAUUAAGUCAGUUACUUUCUAAUGUAAAAAAAUAUUCCUACUUUAUAAUUUAUUUUUCAUGCAUAUUCAAAAACUCACCCAUAGAUAUUUACCCCACAUAAUCUCAUCUUUAUUUUCUUCCAGCCGUCAUGGAAUCCCUCCUCACUUUGCUUCUCUCCUCUAGUUCUUGAAUCUCCCUUUAAUUUCUCGCUAGGCAAAGCACUUGAAUUGGGCUUUUUUUUUUUCCUUUUCAAUUACGUUUUCCAACAUUCACUUAUAUAAUAAUCAACUAGUUGCUACUCUUUUUAGUGAUAAAAUUUGAAAUAUGGUAUUUUAUAUAUUAAAUUUUCAAAAUUAUGUAUUCACUUAAAUGUAGUUUUACUUAUAAAUAUUAAAAUAUUAUGUUAUUUAAUAUAUUAUUUAUUUGACAUUCAAAUUUAAUAAGGAUAUAAAUGUAAAAGUACAUAUUUUUAAUUUUUUAAGUUGAAAAAAUAACUUAAUAUUUAUUUUCAGAUAUUCAAAUAAAAAAUAUAUUAUUUAAAUUCAAAAAUUUAAAUCUAUUCAAAAUUUAAAGUAAUUCAGGUCUAUGCAUAUUUCAAUCAUAAAAACAAAUGCCACAUGAGUCAUUCAAUUUCUAAUUAAGAGGAUAAAAAAUAGAUUUGGACUAUCCUAAGACAAAAACAAAAAAAAAAACAAAAAUAAGAUUUCCUAAUAAGUGUACUAACGUGGUCACGCGCCUUGAGAAACGCUUGGACCUAACACACUAUUUUAAUCCGAUAUGCAAAAAAAGAAAAAAAAAAAAAAGGAAAAAUUAUGAGAUGUAUAAGUUUCUAGAGACGUGUUAAAUUUUGAUGAAACAAUGAAGAAAGUCGGUGGCCGAAGUUGGUAUGGGGCAAUGCGAAUGGUGGUUGGCCCACGUUGCCCUGUAAUUGGAGUUGUUAUAAUUUUUCUUAUAAUUAAUAGGACUUGACACAGACUGCAGCAUCAGCCGUUGGAUGUGGAGGGAGAAACUAAACAAUAGAAAACCGUAUGGUGGGAUGACGGUAGAUGUUUGUUACAGAAACUGUACCAUAGACAGGUCCUAAUUAAUAAGCUCUACGUUUUGAAACAAUAAAUAAACUCCAGAUGACCAAAAUAUCAUUUCAUACUGCUACCUAGACAUCUUGGCGAGGGUGGGUAAUGUGGGGCCCGGAGCUUGUUUGAUCGUCAAUUAUUCUCUGGUUUGGUGAAACGAAUGGACGGACGAUGGUGAUGGCUUUUAGGAGAUUAGUAUUAUUAUUAUUAUUAUUAUUAUUACAUUGAGAUCGUAAAACAAAAAAUUCAAUUAAUAAUAUAAAAUAUUUAUUUAAUUUAUUAAUUAUUAUAUAUACACAAUAAAAAAAUUUAUAUACAUAUUUAUAAAUGUGUAAAUAAAUUUCAUUCAAUAUUAUAUCCAAUUAAUCAUUUAUAUUUUUCUGCUGUACCGUACAUCCGCCUUGGCCGUACAGCAGUAAAGCUGCUGAUGCUUUAUCGCGAAUUCAUGAGGAAAAUGUGAUUGAAGAACCCAAACCAACAACUCUUUGUUUGUCGUUAGACAUUUACCCCACAUAAAAAUAUCCCUAUUUUUUCUUUCUUAUAUUAUAUACGAUAAAAUUUGAAAUUUAUGGUAUUUUAUAUAUUAAAAUUCUAAAAUAAUUAUGUAUUCACUUGAAUAUAGUUUUACUUAUAACUGUUAAAAUAUUGUGGUAUUUAAUAUAUUAUUUAUUUGACAUUAAAAUUUAAUAAGGAUACAAAUGUAAAAGUACAUAUUUUCAGUUUUUUCAGUUAAAAAAAAAGCAACUUAAUACUUAUUUUUCGAGAUUCAGACGAAAAAAUAAACAUAUUAUUCAUAUUCAGACAUUUAGAUAUAUUCAGAAUUCAAACUAAUUCAGGUCUAUUCAGAUUUUAGACAAAAAAAACAAACGCCACCUCAAUCAAUAAACACACCAUAAAUGUAGAGUUGUUACUAUUAGAAUACAUUAUAAUUCAUCACAAUUAUGAUAGGUAUAUACGUGUGUAAUAAUUUAUAUAAGAUGCUAAAUUUUGAAAAUAAUAAAAAAUCAUUUAUACAUAUUUAAAAAAAUCAUUAAUACAUUAAAAUGUGCAUCACAUAUACAUUUACAUAAUAGCAAUGACCAUAGUAUAAAAAAAACUCCUAAAAGAGAACGACUUCGUUAUUUAUGUUAUUUUAUAUAUUUUUAAUUGAUUAUUAAAAGGAUCAAUUGUUAAUUAUUAUUCUCCAAACAUAAUCACCGUUAAACAUUUAUUCAAUUUAACAAUAGGUAGAUGUUAAAUAAUAUUGGAAUAUUUAAUGAACAAUAUAAUCACUAUUGCAGUUGUUUUUUUUUUUUAGUAAUGGAUUAUUCGAAACUCAAAUUCAUUUUUUAGCCCCCUUACCUCUCUUAAAAUUCAAAUUUAAGUGACUAAACAAAUAAAACUGCUUAAAAUCUAUACGACUACAUCUUUGGGGACCAAUUAAUAUGGAUGUUUAAAUCUUGAUUUAUUAUUAAAUCUUUGAGUUUCAACCACUAAUAACAUCAUCAUCGAUUAAUGACAAAUAAAAUAAUACAUCAUCAAAACCAUUAAACACGUCCAUCAAUAUCAAAAACAAGUAAAAAGUUUAGCAUGUAUUUCAAAUAUACUUUUCAUCCCAAAAGUUGUAGAGAAAGUCUCGAUAUCAAUGUCACUAUGAGACGUAAUUUUAUAUUUAAAGUCAGCGCAACUUAAAAAUUACUAUGAAUGAAUAAUACACCAUAAAAAAAUUAUUUAUAAGUAUUUUCAUCAUGUAUUUUUAUUUAACAAUGGUGACAUUUAUUUUUUAACUUAAUGACUUAAAGUGGCUUAACUUAAUUAAUUAAGUUAAUUUUAGGUGUUUGUUUUUAUAACUUAAUAGGACAUUUUAGAUAAUUUUGACUUAAUAAAAUAGGCCAAUUUUUUUUAACUUUUUACUUAAUAGAGAAAUUUGAAUUAAGUCAGUUACUUUCUAAUGUAAAAAAAUAUUCCUACUUUAUAAUUUAUUUUUCAUGCAUAUUCAAAAACUCACCCAUAGAUAUUUACCCCACAUAAUCUCAUCUUUAUUUUCUUCCAGCCGUCAUGGAAUCCCUCCUCACUUUGCUUCUCUCCUCUAGUUCUUGAAUCUCCCUUUAAUUUCUCGCUAGGCAAAGCACUUGAAUUGGGCUUUUUUUUUUUUCCUUUUCAAUUACGUUUUCCAACAUUCACUUAUAUAAUAAUCAACUAGUUGCUACUCUUUUUAGUGAUAAAAUUUGAAAUAUGGUAUUUUAUAUAUUAAAUUUUCAAAAUUAUGUAUUCACUUAAAUGUAGUUUUACUUAUAAAUAUUAAAAUAUUAUGUUAUUUAAUAUAUUAUUUAUUUGACAUUCAAAUUUAAUAAGGAUAUAAAUGUAAAAGUACAUAUUUUUAAUUUUUUAAGUUGAAAAAAUAACUUAAUAUUUAUUUUCAGAUAUUCAAAUAAAAAAUAUAUUAUUUAAAUUCAAAAAUUUAAAUCUAUUCAAAAUUUAAAGUAAUUCAGGUCUAUGCAUAUUUCAAUCAUAAAAACAAAUGCCACAUGAGUCAUUCAAUUUCUAAUUAAGAGGAUAAAAAAUAGAUUUGGACUAUCCUAAGACAAAAACAAAAAAAAAAACAAAAAUAAGAUUUCCUAAUAAGUGUACUAACGUGGUCACGCGCCUUGAGAAACGCUUGGACCUAACACACUAUUUUAAUCCGAUAUGCAAAAAAAGAAAAAAAAAAAAAAGGAAAAAUUAUGAGAUGUAUAAGUUUCUAGAGACGUGUUAAAUUUUGAUGAAACAAUGAAGAAAGUCGGUGGCCGAAGUUGGUAUGGGGCAAUGCGAAUGGUGGUUGGCCCACGUUGCCCUGUAAUUGGAGUUGUUAUAAUUUUUCUUAUAAUUAAUAGGACUUGACACAGACUGCAGCAUCAGCCGUUGGAUGUGGAGGGAGAAACUAAACAAUAGAAAACCGUAUGGUGGGAUGACGGUAGAUGUUUGUUACAGAAACUGUACCAUAGACAGGUCCUAAUUAAUAAGCUCUACGUUUUGAAACAAUAAAUAAACUCCAGAUGACCAAAAUAUCAUUUCAUACUGCUACCUAGACAUCUUGGCGAGGGUGGGUAAUGUGGGGCCCGGAGCUUGUUUGAUCGUCAAUUAUUCUCUGGUUUGGUGAAACGAAUGGACGGACGAUGGUGAUGGCUUUUAGGAGAUUAGUAUUAUUAUUAUUAUUAUUAUUAUUACAUUGAGAUCGUAAAACAAAAAAUUCAAUUAAUAAUAUAAAAUAUUUAUUUAAUUUAUUAAUUAUUAUAUAUACACAAUAAAAAAAUUUAUAUACAUAUUUAUAAAUGUGUAAAUAAAUUUCAUUCAAUAUUAUAUCCAAUUAAUCAUUUAUAUUUUUACAGCGGUUUAAUAAUAAUAUUUACUAAAUACAUAUGAUUAUUUUUAAAAUUCACAGUAUUUUUAAAAAUAAAUUUUAUAAAAUUUUUAACUAAUUUUCUUUACAACUAACUAUUGAACGGUUUAACUAAUAGUAAUUAUUUUUAAAAUUAUAGUAUUAUCAAAUUAGUCCUAUGUCAAAUUUGUUAUUGCUGUUUUUUUUUUAAUUAAAAAAUUACAUAGUGCAUACGUGCAUAAUAUGCCCAACUCAAAAAUUCACACAAAAUAUACUAUUUAACUUUAAGGCUUUAAUUGAAAAAAAAAAUUAAGAUUAAGAUGAAUAAAUACUAGAACAUAACAAAUAGAUAAACUCUCCCAUUCUUUAAAAAGAUUAAUUUUAUUUUAAACUUACACUUCGAAUUCAAAGUAGACAUUGAUUGAUAAAAUUAUACAAACGGAUCAAUAUUCCUACAUUUUCUUUUUAAUUUCAAAACCAACAGAUAUUGUUUGUUCAUUAUAUGACCUCCAAACAAAUAAUUUCAUUAAUAAAAUAAUAAUGAAAAGUGUCGUGAUGGGUAUAGAGUAAUUAGGUGGCUAAGUUUCUACUUUUCAUUCUAACUCUUGAGGUUGGUAGGCGCGUGGGUGGUCCACAAAACCCGUGGACGGUAGCAUUCAAACAAAGACUGGAGGCACCAGAAAAAUGUCCAAAAAGUGUGAAACCGUGACGUGUUCAACAUGUUAAUAAAUUUAGGCAAAUGUUAAAGUUACGGAGCUGGCUACGUUACAGAAACUGUACGUAACAGCCAUGCAUUUUUUAUUCGUUGGAUCUAGAGACUGAAAUUGGAUGGUUGGGAUUAAAGGCCAGAAUAGAAAUUAAUCACGGGCAACCGUUUUUAACAUUUAGAAGGGUUUAUUUUCAUGCACACCCAAAUAUUUUGACAAAUAUCAAUAUGCACCCAGUAACUUUUUAUGUAAAACCACAUAACCGACCCGUUAACUUUUCUACUAUUGAAUUAAAAAACUAUCAUGCCUCAAUUGAAUUAAAUUGAUCAGGUAAAAUAUCUUUUAUAACUUGUCAAUUUUUACAGUGAAAUAUACGAGUAUUUAGUAAAAUCAAAUUUAUUUUUUAUUCAGUAAUCAAAUUUUUUUAUUUAGUGAAAUCAAAAUUAUUUUUCUUUAGUUGUAAGAUUUUUUUAACAAAAAAAUUCUAAAAUCAGAUUUAACUCAUUUACUAUUUUAAAAAAUGAACUUUUUACUAACCAAACUAGAGUUUAUCUUUAGUCAACAUAUUUUUUUCUCUAAAAUAACCUUUGAUAGAAUUACUUAUAUAAACAUGUCAGUAUCAAAAUUACUUCAUAUUUUACCAUCCAUCAAUUUAAACUAGUGUGAAAUUUUUUUAGUUUGAUAUUGAAAAUAUGAUAGUUGAUGAGAGAAAUCUAAUUCAAAUUUACAGAUAGAAUAGUUUCUUAUAAUUGCGUACAUGGUAUAUCAAAAAUAUUUUUUUGUGAGUUUUUAAAAAAAUUGUGUCACAAGAUGAAAUUAUCUCUUGAUUUUUCAAUUCCUGGAAUUUAUGUAAAACAAUAAACACAAGUAAAUCUUUUGGUUUGUGACUUCUUGAAGGAAUGUUUGGGAACGCACAAGUUCCUCUCUCCUUCAAAAAGAAUGAUAAGUGCAAAUACCAACCUAGAAAAUUGAUUUAUAAUUCAAAGAAGAUUUGAUUGAAGAUGAUUAAUUGAAAUUUAUCUUUGCAUGAUGUCAAACAUUUUUCAAAAUGACUAAGUCAAGUCUCUUUGUUAAUUCAAAUCAAGAAAAAUUAGAAAAAUAUUAAUGCAUAGAAAUUCUACUAAGAGUUAUUUAUGAAAUUCUCAAACGAAUAGAAAUUAAAUUAACAUUUUUAAAUUUUAGUUAUGGGUUUAUUUUAAAAAUGGGUUUAGAAAGAAAUUUGAGGGGUUUAAAGAACCCCGCCCUUUCUUUAAUUAUUCGGUGAAUUUGAAAUAUAUUAAUAAGGUAUAAGAAUAUGUUAUUCUAAUCUUCUUAUGCAAAAUCUAUGCAAUUAAAAAAAAAUUCACCAAACGGUAUUUGUCUUUUUAUUGACAUUUAAUAAUAUUGAUGGCAAAUAUAUACAAUUAUCAAUCAAUUGUUAUCAACUAUUCAAGAUAACUGAAAAACUAAUUGCGUGAAGUUGGAGUAAUGAUUGUUUGAAUUGCCAAGAGUUUUUUUUUAAUAGAAACUAUUGCAAUUCAUAUCAUUAAAAAACUUAAAGACUACAAGUCGAAUAAAAAAUCUUUCCUUAUAAAAGAAUUUGACCAACUCAAAGUACAGUGUUAAAUCCUUGAGAUACAAUGAACCUAAAAAUCCUACUUUGACACACCACAAAUAAUGAAUCUAACUUAACAAUCAAUGGAGAUAAAUCAAUUUUACUAGCAAAAUAUAAGCCAAAACACAAGGCAACGUCUUCACCAAAAUCAAUAUCAUUCAAAUAAUUCCCCUUGUGAACGCCUGAAGCUAUCAUAAAAACAACAAAAAAUAAAAAAAUAAAAACAAGUAGACAAGCAAAAAAAUUCCCCAAUAACAAGUUACCCUACAAAACUUUUCCUUGUAGAACAUACACAGAAACCGCAGCUAUAGGGCUAUCGAAAGUAGGGAUGGCAAUGGGGAGGGGAGGGGAGGGGACCAAUCUCCCCAUACCCAUCCCCGAUAUUUUGCGUAUGUCCCCGUCCCCGUCAGAAUUGCUUGAGAGAAUCUCCAUCCCCUCCCCGAAUAAUAACAGGGGAUCCCCGAGGGUCCCCGGUCUUUGGAAAAGCUAGGAAAGAAAAGGGACGUGAAAAACAAAGGGGGUAGAUUUUUUGAAGGGGAAAGAAAAAGAAACCCUAGAUCUAAAUUUUUCUCUUCUCUCUAUGAAGAACUAAACCUAUUAUUCUGGUUGAAGAUUAAUAAAGCUUUGGUUCAUCAUUACUGUGAGAUCUUUCUUAUGCUUUAAUUGUUUUAUUGCUUUUUGGGUAUUUGUUUAUUCUCUAAAUUAUUGUCAUGAUUAUAUUUGUUAAUUAGAUAAUUGGCCACUAUUUAAUUAUCAACUUAAUCUAUUGUCAAUUAAAAGAUUCAUCGUAUGAAGAUUUUAAUAUUUGUGACAAAUAGCAUAGCAGUGCGUUGUGUUAUGAGAAUAAACAAUCUAAUUUAAAUGAACCAUCGUAUGCGUUUGUUGAUUAGGAUUUGGGUCUCUCUGAUUUUUCAGGUUGUCAAUUAAUUAAAUCCUAUGAUUGUAUCUAGGGUUAUCUAUUAAUUAGGGAAAUAACCAAUGGUCGUACCUUAGUUAUCGACUAGUUAAAGAGAGAUUGGCUAUUAAAGGGUCUCAGUAGCUAGGGAUGGCAAAAAUCCCCACGGGGACGGGCACCCUCGGGGAUUUUCCCCAUUCGGGGAGGGUACGGGGAUAAUUUUAUACCCAAUUUUUUUUUCGGGGAGGGGACGGGGAAAAUUUUUUACCCAAUUUUUUAUUCGGGGAGGGGACGGGGAUGAGGUGGAAUCCCCAUCCCCUACCCAUUUCCCCAUUUUAAUUUUUAUUUUUUAUUUUUAAAAUUACUAAUAAAUAUAUAACAAAAUUAUAAAUAUUGGCAAGAUAUGAGUGGAAUUUUGGGUGUGACAUGUAUAUUUGAUCCAAGGUAUAAAAAGAAGUUCAUUGAAUAAUACUUUUCUUUUUAUUUUUAAAAUUACUAAUAAAUAAAUAACAAAAUUAUAAAUAUUGUUAAAAAUAAUAAAUAUCAAAAUAGUUGUAUGUUGGGAAAGUGGUCACCCCUUACCAGGAAUUAGUGGAAGAGUAUCAAUUGAAGUUUUCACCAAUUGUUUAUUGCUUUGAUUAUACUGGUUGUAGUUCUUCUAUUAGAUCUACAGGGGAUUCUUAUAAGAAAGCAACCAAAUGGAUGACAUGUUUUGAUGAUUAUGUAAACAAUGGAGAUUGUGCAGUUGUUGCAGAUGAAUUAGAUUCAUAUUUGGAUGAAAAAGUUAUACCCCGGAUGGAAGAUUUUAAUAUUUUGAGUUGGUGGAAGACAAAUGCUAAUAGGUAUCCUACAUUAGCUCGAAUUGCUACAGGACGAGCAGGAGGUAAAUAGUUUUAUUAAAAAUAUUAAUUAAGUAUCUACAUUUAUUUCAUUUAUUUUAUUGCCGAUGUAAAAAAUAUUUUUUUUUUCUUUUUAUUGUAGGAUUAUGAAGAUUGAGACAUUGAUAAAGAUAAUUAUUUUAAUAAUUUAUAUUUUGAAUGUGACUUUGUAAUGGAUCAAUAUUAAUGUAAGAUAUAUUUUAAACUUUAUUUUUAUCUGAAUUUUUUAUUUUAAUAUGAUUAAUUUAAAAUCAAAAAUAAAAAAAUGUAUUAGACUAUUAAUUAUUCGGAGACCGGGGACCCUCGGGGAUCCCCUGUUAUUAUUCGGGGAGGGGAUGGGGAUUCUCUCAAGCAAUUCUAACGGGGACGGGGAGGGGACGGGGACAUACGCAAAAUAUCGGGGAUGGGUAUGGGGAGAUUAGUCCCCUCCCCUCUCCUCCCCAUUGCCAUCCCUAGAUUUUUGCCAUCCCUAUCGAAACCUCUACCCACCACUAUUAGAGUUAAAAAAAUCUCUGAUAUGAGUGUAUUCUUCUAAUUUGAACUCUAACGUGAUUUUUUGAGAGAUUCAUUGGAAAAAAACCUUAAGGAGUUAAAGAAGAAAUUUAAAAAAAAAAUCAUAAAAAGAGGAAUGAAAAGAAAAAGAUGCUUUACCAAGAGUUGAUUGACAGUAAUUGGUAAAUUUGAGCAUGCAAUAAAAUUUACCCAUAUAUUCAUAUGACAUAAAAUAUAAUUUUAUUCAUUAAUUACACUACUAAUUUGUCUAAAUUUUAGUUUUUAAAAAAAUAAAUUUCUAUAUAUUUACAUAAAUCUUAGUUUUUAUAAAAAUAAAUUGAAAAAUAAAUUUAUGUUUUUAUAAAAAUAAAUUUAUGUUUAUUUUUUUACAUUGACCUGAAGAAAAGACUAGUACUACUAAGCUGCUGUACGGCCAAGGCGGAUGUACGGUACAGCAGCAAUUUGACUGUUUGGGGGUGGGGUUGAUGGCUUACAUCAAAGUUAGUGUGUGCUAAGGAUUAACAAUAAUAAUGGGGUAAAUAUGAAAUUAAUCCUUGCCCAAGCAUUAGAAGUUCGUCGGUUUUCUUUUAACCGGAUAAUUACCGGUGAAUAUGUCACGCGUUCCUACACGUGGCAGCAUCUAAUUUAUUCGCUUGUCAUUUCAGUUUCUGUUAGUUACAGUUUCUGUAACGUAGCUAGCUCCGUCAGGUACAGGCAUGUUGUAACUUACGUUUCUCGUAAAAAUCAUAUAAGUUCUAUUUCUACCGCUAGGGUGAGCAUGGGUUGAUUUGGAUUAAAUUUUAAGUUAAUUUAAAUUAAAUUAUAAAAAUUUGGGUGUAAUCUAAAUUAAUUUAAAUAUUUUUAACAUAACUCAUGGGUUGGUUAAAUCAAACUAUAAAAAUUUGGUCCAACUCAAAUUAACUCAAAUAUUUUCAACACAACCCAAAGCAACUCAGUUGGAUUUUAUUAAAAUUAUAAUAAUUAUUAAUUGUUUUUAAACCAACCAUUUUGAGUUUGGUUUGGAUUUUAUUAUCAAAAUAUAUUUUUUAUUUUGAGAAAUUUAAUUUUAUCAAAAUUAUAAUAAUUAUUAAUUGUUAUUACUUAUUAAAUUGAUAAUAACAUAUAAAAAUUAUAAUUCAUAAAAAUUAUAAAUAACAAAUUUUACAAUAACUUAAUCCUUAAAUUAAAGAAUACUAGAAAAUUAAAAUAAAGUUUAAUCACAAAAAUCAUUAUUUAUCAAUAAAUAAGAAAAUUCUAAUAAAAAACUUCUACAAGCACGAUAUCGACAAGUAAAUUCAAAGAAAGAAAGAAAGAAAGAAAAGACUAGUACUACUAAGUAUUAACCCUAUUACAACACAAACUCUAACAAUGUCCAUACAAAUAAAAAAAAAUAAGACAUUCUAACUCAAGUGUCAAAGCAAUCCAUCAUAAUCAUUUCCAUCCGUAGUACUUUAAUCGAGAGAUUCCACGAUUAACUGACAAAAUGUAUGACAAUGAUAAUUUACAUUGAUUAUGACAUAAUAGAGAUGGAUUUGUCAAAGCCAAAUCAUUUGCUGGAAAGGAAUUUAGUUGAAGUAGGAACCAAAAUUCAACUUAGAUGGAUCUAUAAAAUUGGUCAUUCAAUACAUAAGUACUUUAUCAACAGAUUCAACACAUUAUAAAUUUAUGGAUUCAACUAAGUUACAACCAGCUGCAACUUAUUCCUCUCACAUAAACAAUAAUACAGCGGUAGGCUAUAUUAUUUACAAAAAGUACUUAUGUAUUGAAUGACCAAUUUUAUUACCUGCAAAAUUAAUUAAUCUUUCACUCUAUCAUCUAACUAAUGGAAGGCAAUCUUAUUUUAGGUUGUAAUGAUUAGAAACUAGCAGGAAGUGGGGGCGAUGCUCCAUAUUAAUUUGGAUAAAUCCCUUUCUAGUGAAGAAGUUAAAAUUAUAAAAUAGAGAUCAAGAUAGAAAUUUAAAGGCCCCGAUUGUUUUUUACAGACUUAAAAAUGAUAUUGAAAAAUUAAAAGCUAAUUUUAGUAUUUAAAAAUUACUUUAAGAAAAAUCACCCUAUCUUCCUGUAAAUUUUGAAAAGCAUGAAAAGAGCAGUUUUUCAAAAAUUGAUUUCGAAAAUUAGUUUCAUACUUAAUACAAUUCCAUAUAUCCUAACAUUUAUUAUAAAAAUUCAAAUUAUCCUUAUUAAAUUAGGAAAUAAAGUCAGUACAUUUAAAUAAGAGUGAUGAUAUAGACACAAACUCUUGUACCAACUGACGUAGCAUUAAUUUAUUAGUUGAAUGAAAAUAUAAAAUAAUAUAAAUAAAUCAUGUGGGCCAAGAAAUAUUUAAUUUAACCAAUUUUAUCAUGUCACAUUAUAAGCAACUUAUAAACUCAUUGGAUUCGACUCUUUACUAAAAUAAAAAUAAAUUAAUAUAUAUAUAUAUAUAUAUAUAUAUUUACAUACAUAAAAUGUGAUUAUAUACACAUAUUUAUAAUUGAAUAUGUACAUAAAUUCUGUAGAUUUAUGUCUAUCUAUACAUUUGCAUUCUUACCACAUUUUAAAAGUGUGAUUUACCAAAUACAUGGGACUUAUUUGAAAUUUAUAGCACUUUUAUAAAUAAAAUUUAUCAAACGUUAAACAGAUUCUCUAUUUUCGCGUAUAUAUCCUCAUGUAAAUUAUAAAAAUUCAAAAUUAUCUUUAUUCAAUUAGGAAAUUAAAUCAUUAUUUUUAAAGAGAUUCUUAUUAUUACUAAUUAGAUUCAAAUAACCAAAAAAAUACAAUCAAUAAAAUAAAAAUAUUUAUUUUAGUUAUCAUUUAUUAUAUACACAUAUUUAUAAAUGCAUGUGUAAAUAAAAUUUUAUAGAUUUAUGUCUAUUUAAGUUAUUUGCAUUCUUACAACAUUUAAAAAAUGAGAUUUACUAAACACAUGUGAUUGUUUUUAAAAAAGUUACAACACUUUUAAAAAUAAAAUUUAACAAAUGUUUAAUUGACUCUCUCCAAAGGUAAUUGUUUUUACAGUAUAGCUAAAGUAAUUUAUAAAUUUAUGAUAAGUAUUUGUGAAUAUUGGUCUAUGUAAAGAAGUAAAAACAACAUAUAUAUUAAGCAGCAUGAUAUUAAAACUCUUAGUAAAAUACAUAUACUAAUAAAAGAAAGACAACAAUGCAAUAAAUAAGCUUAUAAUAUAAAUUAUUAAAAUUGUAUAUUAAAAAAUUAUGCAUGAAAUUCUUUUUCUAUUUUGGUGAUAGAGAAUGCGAUAUAAUUGAAUUAUUUGAUUUAAUAAAAAAAAAAUAUGACUGUGAAGGAAAUUAACAAUUGAAUUGUGGAAUGUUAUUAAUUGUUAUUGUAUCAUUUUGCAACGUUCUAAUAAUAUGGACAAUGUUACAGUAUAUUGAUGGGCGGUAAUAUUUUCACCUCUUAAAUUGUGUAAAGUCAGCUCCAUUUAAAAAAAUUAUAUAUAAAAAGCCCAUUAGUUUUAAUAGUUUCAAAUUAAGAUUAAAUGCAAAUAAUUAACCAAUUAAAUCCUUAUUAAUAAGAUCAUUGAGCUUUAAUUAAACUAAUAAAAUGCAUUUGAUAAAUGAAAUUUACGAUAUUUAAUUACAUGAAAUUUAUUGACUACAUGAAUAAUAUAAUUGUUCAGCUGUUUAAACUUUUUCCCUAUUUAAAUUUUAAAAAACAAUGUGAAAUUUUGUAAAUAGUUCUUUGAAAUGGGGUGGAUUUACACCAUUUGUGCAGUGCAAAUAUCCUAAUUCUAACAUUUUUUUUAAAAAAAAAGACCAAAUCAUAACAUUUUUUGUAUACUAAGUUAAAGUAGUACUAACAUUAUAGCCCCCUAAUGAUUUCAAUUCAUUCAAUGAAUAUAUAAUUUAAGCAUGUUAUAAACUAAGUCUCUAAAUCGAAUUAAAAAAAGAAAAAAGAGCUUAAUUGCUGACAUAGUUGAAAAUAAAAUAAAAAAUUUUAUUAUUAGAUGAAAAAUUAUGAAACUUAAGGGGUAUAAGCGAGUCGGCAGCUGCUCACCAGGGCAUAUGUAAUAUUUGUUAAUACAUUUCAAAAUUUUAGGUUUUUUAAUAAUAUUUUCAAUACAUUUUCUAGAAGGUUUAGAAAAAAAAAAUGACUCAAUACUUUAAUCGAGCUAUGAAUAAACUCAUGUGUUAAAAAAUUUCAUAUUUACACCCAAUAAGAUUAAUUAAUGGGUGAUACAAAUUUAAGAUAGUUAAUAAUAAUAUAUAUCAUCUUAAGUUAACUUCAACUCAUUAACCUUGUAUAAGGUUUGAUGGGUCGUGCCGCAAAUUAUCACCUCUAAUCCUUUUUGCAACAGGCAUGAUGAAUGCUAACAAAAUGAAACUUCUAUAUAUUUAGUUGUUAUUCUUUUUAAUGAAAUAAUAAGGAGCUUUGCUGCAAAUUUCCAUCCAGCAUGGCAUGGACGCACGUGAAAUUUGCUAGUAUGGUCCUGGACAUGCGUGGCUGAGAUGCUUCUAAAGGCAAAGAAUUCCAAGUUCAUACCAAAUAUAACUUUCUGAUAUUUUUGUGGUAUCAAGUUUGUUUUUCACAAACUAAGGUGUCGGCGUAAAGUUGUUGUCCAUGCAAUGAAGUUUUAUACAUAAAUAUAUUAACCUAAAUUGUUACUAAAGUUCCAUAAUUAGCAGUUCCUGAGAGUUUUUACUAUAUAUUUUUUUGUUUUAAUUCAACAUAUGUUUAUUUAAUACGAUUUUAUUAAAUAAAUGUGCAUAUUUACCAUAUUUGUCUACGAUCAAUUAGUUGGAAAAAAAAAAGAAAAUUAAUAAAUUUAUUUAUUUGAUUGUUAAUGGUUUAGGCAUUUGAAUUCCCACAAAGUCAGGGUGUCAGCUCUGGACUUCUGGUGAUGUAUUUUUCUAAUAAAGAAAUAAAAUAUUGUUGUCAUUUUUUUAAUAUUCUAAUUUACCAAGCCUACCAACCAAUUAAUUUUUCUAAUUAGAUCAUUAAUUCAUUACACGUGCAUUCGCUGGCCCAGUGCUCCAAUCCCAUGCAUGCUGCACAACUCAAUGUGUUUUAAUAAGAAAAGGUUUGGUUAGCCUGUGCUGAUGCCAGAAGCCCCUUAAGGAGUUCAGGUAAACGUAAAUAUGUCCAGAUUUAGAUUUGAAUAUGUAAACGUAAAUAGGUCCAGAUUCAGAUUCGUUGCGCUAGAGAGGGGCACGCACGAUCGGGCUGCUGUCAGGUGGUACGUUGGCGUGGCAAUUCUCAACACGCGCUUCUCCUGGUGCAUACUUACGGCAAGUUGACACGUGACCCGUGUGGAUUGAGUGGACAGAGUCACGGGCACUGAUUUUUGUCAUCCAUAACGACUAACGUCGGAGACUUCGAGAAGAAAGAAAUUGUUGUCGUUUCUAAGGGGAAAAAAAUAUUUAAUUUGUUGAAGACAAAUUAACGUCGGAGAUUUUUUUUAUUUUUUAUUUUUAAUUUUGCAAUCUAAACCAGUCUAAUCAAAAUGUCAAUUUGACAAAAGUUGGACUGAUUUAGAUUAGUUCUAUUAGUUUGAUUGGAUUAAAUUGAAUUAGAUCUUGAACAUCCUAACACUUUUCAUGAAUGUUUUCCUUUUUUUUUGAAAAAAAUUAAUAAGGAGAAUUCCCAUGAAUGUUAAUUUUAUUGAUAAACUUGGCAAUUUUAAGAAAUGUUUUGACGCACGAAUAAUGCAAUUCAUCAACCCACAUAGAUAUGGAUAUAGGAAGCAGAGACCAGAUCGAUCUUGACAUAACGAAAACUUGUAUGUGUAUAUGUAUGUUACAGACCAGAUCGAUCUGUAGCAUAGACUUCUCCUAUAUGUAGGUUAUAUUCAAAUUACAAAAUGAACACAUGUUAAGGAUCUACAACUUCUUCUUUAAUCUAAUAAGCUCCCUCAACUUUAUUCCAAAACAAAAAAGAAUCAAAUUUUUGUUGGAAAUAUUUAUGAAUGAAGAAGCAAAAAGCGCUUGUAUCAAGGAUCUAAUUAAAGAACUGCCAGAGGCAUAGAUCUAUCAAAGCUCCCUCGCAUGACUCUUGGUCUCGGUGGCUUCUUCUUCUUCAUUCCGAAUUUUCCCUCCAUCUGAUCUCUUCCAACCUUUCCAUUUCCAAAUUGAAUUGAAACUUGCCUCAUAUUCGUUUGUUGAAUCCCAUCUUUUGUUGCACCACCAUGCAUCAAAAUCCUUGAAAUCCCAGCAUAAUGCAAGGACUCAGCUAUUUGCAAUGGGGUCACGUUCUUACUUGUCCUUGCCUCAACAUCAGCUCCCUUCUUCACAAGCAAUUCAGUCACAUCUGUGUGGCCAGAUUCCACCGCACAAUGCAAAGCUGUGUACCCAUCUUCAUCUUUAGCAUCAACAUCAAUCCCUUUAUCAAUCAGAAUCCUCACAACCUCAAUCUUUCCCUUAAACGAAGCCCUAUGCAAAGCAGUCCAUCCAUGUAGGUCUUUCCCAUUGAUCGCGGCGCCUGCUUCGAUCAACCUCUGCAUUGUCCUCACUUCCCCUUUCCUAGCGGCAAUACACAGGCUGUCACCAAGCUUCAACGCGUCAAAGAGACGGGAGUGACCGCACUCAGCAGCAACAUCAUAAGCGGUCUUUCCGCUCUUGUUUCUAAUAUAUUUAUUAGCACCCUUCUGCAAUAACAGCUUCACCAUUUGCUCAUAUCCCAAGCUUGCGGCGAUAUGCAAAGGCGUGUCACCGUCUCUAGCGUUGCGUAUAUCAGGCCUUGCUCCGUUUGCUAACAGAAGUCUCGCGCAAUCUCUUCUUCUGUCUUCAACCGCGAGAUGCAGAGCUGUGUUACCAUCUUUUGUUAAAGCAUUGACAUUAGCACCUUUGAUUAAGAGAAGCUUUAGUACUUCCAAAUGGCCGCCUCGUAAGGCCAAGUGUAUGGGCCCCCAUGUUGAUGUUCCUGAUCUUUCUGUGCUGGCUUUCCUCGCCAACAAGAGCUCAACAAUAAGUGCUUCCCCUGCAGCCGCCGCGGCUUCAAGUGGAGUACUGCAGCCACACCUGCCUUGAGACUCAACAUCCGGCCCAAACUCAAGCAAAAGUUGAACAAUAUCAGGCCUCCUUUGAGCUAUAGCAAUAUGAAGCAACGUUUGUCCCUGCGCAUCGGCAGAAUCAGCCGGGUUCCAAGCCGGGUCACUCCGCUCAAGAACCUCUCUUAAAUCAUCCAUUUCACCAUCCUUAACAAGCAGAACCAAAACAGGAGACCCAACGAACAUGAUCUUGAUUCCGCUGUCGAUGAACACUUGCUUCUUCCUCGUUGUGAACCAGUCACUGGGGACGGAAUCAAGCGUCGACGUUGCAUCUUUAAUUCCAGCUCCAGGAACAACAACGCUGUGCAAGAGGAAGGAAUCAUCACAGUGAGGGAAAGAAUCAGGAAGAACCGAUCCUGGAGGGAGAUGAUACGCAAUCUCUACGCUUAGUGUUGCGAGUGGUGAUAUGAUUCCUGAUUGCGGCUUCACAGUAUAACGAGCCUUGUUUGUAGGCUGAAUCCUGAAAGCAACAGGCAUCGUGUGCAUGACAUUGCGGAGAGUCAGCUCCCCGGAACAUUUCUGCCCUGGUUCAAUUCUGAUAGCUACAAGGUUCGACGGCUCCAAGCUUACAAGCCUAUCCAUUGAUUAAUUUUCUCUCCGUUUCCCAAGGACUGCUGAAAGGGGUUCUUUGAACUUUUUGAUUCAGGCUUAUUUUCUUCACUUUUGGUGGCAUGGGGAGGAAUUAGAGGAGUAACUGUAAGAGCUGCAAGUGUUGGUGUAAUCAACUGUAAUAUAAGGAGAAGAGAGGGCCGGCUCUAAUGGGAGACUGCCACGUGGUGGUGUUAAAAACAAUGAGACUUGUUCUGUUCGGCGUCCGGAGUGUAUAUACAGUUGUGUUAGUGGUGAAAGUUAAAGAAAUCCUGAAGUUAUUUUCGGAGUGGCUUCUGCAAAGUCACUUUCAGGAUUGUAUUGUAUCAUUAAAAAACAAAGCCAGUUUUUGUUGUUCUAGUAAAAGGCGAAUCAUUGGACAAACUCGUAAGAAUAUGUUGCCAAAUGUAUAAAAUAUGAAAUUCAAACAAUGAUUACAAUGUGAAAUUGGACAAUGGACAUGGCCUGUGUGAAUUGUUUUGUGGGCUUACUAAUUAAAUUAAUUCACUAAAAAUAAUGUCACUUUUGUGUCUGUGAAGAAGCCGAAAUGGCACAGUCAUUUACGUGGCCAACUACGGUGACUACUUCGUCAGUAGCUGCUCGAGCACUUGGUCAGCACAAGUUGCUUUCUUUCUUGGCGGGAUUAGUUUUUCUUCAUUGCUUUAAGUGGUGCAUUUCUGCAGUUUCAUUUUGCUUUGCUUAUGCCAUUGGAUUUGUGCCCCAUAAAUAAAUAUAUAAUUAAGCGGAAAAGUAUCAAAUUUUGAAAAAGCUUAGGUUUUGUGUGUGUGUGUGUGUGUGUGUGUGUGUGUGUUUUAAGCCGAAUUACUCGGCUAAAAAUUAAUCCGAUUAUUAUUGUUUUGGUGCUUAAGAUGUGACUCUAACCUAAAGCUCAUUUGAACUCUCUUGAUGCUCAUAUGGUAUUUUUUGUGUUGUGUCGUGCUGGCCCUUACACAUCUCGGCUCAUAUUUUUCAUGUUACUAAGUUCUAAUAUGUACAAAAGAAAUAGAGCAAUGUCCGGUGGUAGAUCCAAACACUCAAUUUGGGGUGCUUAUUUUUCAGUCUCAAAUUCGAUUAUUUUCUUUUAAAAUAUUAAAAUAAUAGUAAUAAAAUACUUAUUUUAAAUACUGAGCUCAUUACAACCACAUAUGUAAAAGUAUCAUUUAUAUUUUUUUUCUAAAUAAUCUUCACAAAAUAUUUUAAAAAAUAAAAUUAUGUGACUAUGGGGAUUUGAACCAAGUCUCUCAAACUACUAAAUAACACUUUUACCACUAAAUUACAAAUCUUUUAACAUAUUAAAAGUGCAUCCAAAUUAUUAUUAUUAUUUAAUUAUUUCAUAAGAGAUUUGGGGCACAUUUAAAAGAAAAAAAAUUAAUGGUGCAUAAAGGACUAAAGCCUCUCUUGAGUCCUUGACCUUAACUAGGUCCACCCAUGGUAAUGUCAGUGAUACCCAACUUGAAAAAUAUACAAGAAACUUGGAAAUUUAAAUUAAUGAAUAAAUAAAUAAAUAAAAGGAAACUUAGUGAUUGUAGCUGUUGUAUUGUAUUGUGGAUCAAAGAAUUACAAGUUCUUGGUUUCUCGGUAUUGGCUAAUUUUGAAGUUAAAUGAAGUUCGAAAAUAUUUACAAGCAAUAAAAUUAUCAACUGAAUGAGACAAGGAAAGAGUAUAAAGACCUUAGCAAAUUAGCAAUCCUUCUUUAAUUUAGUAACAGUGACGCUUAUAAAGUUAGAAGACGUAUCAAAUCUAAUUUAGAUUUUGCCCCAUAAAACUAACUUAACUUAUAGUGCGUCUUUGUUUAAUUAGUAAAUAUUCCACAAAAACUGAUCAGCACUUUAUAGGAAAUUCCAAACACGUUUAUAUUCACAAGGAAUAUGUCAAGGAGAAAUGAGAAUAAAAAAAUGUAAAAACUAAUAAAGCUUCAUUAAUUAGAAUUUAUAACCAUAUGUGCUCCUAUACUACUUUUAUUAUUAAGAAUUUGAAGUAGAAGGUAGUUGAUUAUCAUGAAAUUACAAAAUUGUAAACGGAUUUGUUCUUUUGGAAAAAGAAAAAAAAAAAAAAAGGAAGGAUAGUUGAUUACUUGAUUAGUGAGAAAUCAUACGUAUAAAGGACAAAUUGAAAAAUGGGACCUGAAUUGCAACAAAGCUUCAUUGGAAUUAACUGCCGAUAAAAUUAAAUUAGUAUCACCCUACCCUUUCAUCUUAAUAUAUUCGAAAUUUCACCGAUCAAAGUUUCUAGCUUCGAUUUUUACGAUCUCUCAUCCUAAUAACACCAAAAGCAUAUUCAUUCGUUUGUAAGAUUAUGUAACAAAAUAUAGUAAAUAGCCUAUAAUUUUUUUGUUUUACUACUAACCUGUUAUCAUUCUUUUCUAAUAAUACAUGUUAAAAUAUUCACAGAAAAAAUUUAUCCCUAUUACACCCAACCACCUUUUUUUGUGUUUUUUUUGUUCAAAUUUUAGCAUUAAAGGGACAAUAAUGUCCUAUGAAAUAUGCAGAAAGACAGUUAAUAAUAUUCAAAAAUGUAAGUGGAGGUAUCUUACGCCACACACACAAAUUACACGACUCUCAUUAAUGUGUUGUUGUUGUUAUGUGUGGCGUAAGUUACAGUUGAAUGUCAUAUUCAAAAAAGUAAGUGGAGGUAUCAAUCUCCCUAAAUAAAUAAUUUAUGGAAGGUUGUUAGCUGUUGUACUUUUAGUUAAUUUUAAAAUCACAAUAAUAUGGUUAAUGUUAAGUUACAUGCAUGUAACUUAGGAGGAUCCCAAUAAUAUACCAUAUUUUAUUAAUAUGUACAGUAUUUAUAAUAUUUAAAAAUUAAGGAAUUAAUGUACGCAUGUAAAAGCUGCAUUGGAGCCAGUUGGAAAUCUUACUGUCUUGAUAUAUGCAACGAUUGUAGCAGCUAAAAAGGCAUGAUAUUUACUUAAUAUUAUUUCAAACAAUAAUUAUUUAUUUAAAGCAAAUAAUAAUAAUGAGGGCAGAAGGACUAUUCUAGGAUCAAUAUGGUGACAGUAUAAAUAAAUAAUAUUAAUUAUUAAUGCAUUGAUGAGUAUUGUUAAAAUGACAUAAUAGGUUUGUUUCAUUGAAUUGAACCUUUUCUCUUAAAAUAGCUAUAAUUUGUUCUCUCUCUCUCUGUGUUUUUGUUUUUGUUUUUCACUUUAGUUUUACUUCUCUUAAAAAACCAAAAAAAAAAAAACAAAAUUAAUGGAAACUGAUGAUGGGAAGACGGACAAUUUUCUAUAUUGUUAAAUAGAAAUGGGCACAAAUGUGAGUUUUUUGGGGCAAAAAAAUAUAGUCAAUGUACGUAGCGUUUGUCUAUUUGAAAACCCGUCAAUAUAAAAACAGGACGUAAAGCUUUCAGACAAAGUACUCUUAUGGCCGUACUUUCCAUAAACCAAAUCAAAAGAAGGAAAAUAUUUGUGUCUGGCUUCGAUGCGACUGUUAACAUUCACAAAUAAACACCUUUGCAUGGUCAGAAAAAUUAACAAGAAAUUAGAAGGCGAUGUUGCGUUCUACUUAGUUCUCUAGGAUUUGUGUCAUUUGUUUAUGCUACGGUUCGUUCCCAUUUGCAUUGCGUGGAAUAAUUGGCCGAAUAUUAUUAAUCUCAAUCUUAAUCUCUCAACUCUUGUCCCUUUAAUUUUUGUUUGUAUCUUUUUCUUUUUUUUUUUAAAUAUCACAUACAAUGCUUUUAAUAAAUAACUUCAUAGAAAUAUUUAAUAAAAUCCAACAUAUAUAAGUUCAAGAAACUCAAAAAAUAAAAGAAAAUAAACUCACGUUGUCACUGGAGAGACUCAAACAUGCUACCUUAAAAUUAAGUAGAGGGUGCAACUACUUGCACUUUAAAAAAAGAAAAGAAAAAAAAAGGGGCUUUGAACGCUCGUGAUAAUUUGCAAGUUAUGGAGGAUAAUCAUUGUACAAUGGGGAGAACUCUUAUGGAACAAUAUUCAAACUGAUAUUGAAAGCAUAUAAGAAUUUGGCUUGGGUGUUUUGGUGCCAUGAAUGAGUGCAGAAACAAAGAGGAAGCUUUGUCCCUUUAAUUUGAUCUGCUGUAUUAUAAUUAUUGAGAUUAAUCAAAUAAAUAACCGAAACAUGGUUACAGUUUUAUAGUGUAUUGCAAGUCUUUGGAGAUACUAUGUACCUCAAAAAAAAAUAUCGUAUAAAAGAGUGUUUUGUUUCACAGGGGUUCAAUGAGAUUUGAGAUGGCUGUAAUGAAAGUGAUGUAAAUUUUUUGGACUCUAAUGAGGUGUUUUUAGAUGGAGGGGGAUUUACAAGUAUUUUAUAGGGGUGAUAAAUGACUGUAUACCCACCAAAAAGGCCCAUUGUUCGAGUCCAUGAGCAUUACAGUUUUUUUUUUUUUUUUUUUUGAAAUUCAGAACAUGCAGUUUGUUUGAUUCAACUUCCGAAUUACAAAAUUAGAAUAAGAAAAAAAAAUGUGGAUGUUUUUUCUUUAAUUUACAUAAUAAUACAUGGUGUGGACGAUGUCUAUUGAGGGAUAAAAGAGGAAUGGGGGCACUGUGAAGUUUGUGUUUUUGUUUUUUUUAAAUUAUCAUAUUCAUACUGUCUAUAAAAAUAUGCAAGUUAAAAAAUUACUCAUGAUAUUGUUGUUUUUGUUUCAUAUAAUACUACUUAUGCACAUCGCCUCAUGCAAACAUUUCUUAGUUAUGCUUAAAAAAAUGAGAUUCUCACCAUGGGUCACUGUAAAAAUCCACAGAAGCCGUGGAUCACAGUAGGAAGCCCACUUGAACAGAAGAAGCUACCGAAAGCUUCGACAUUGUAUUUAUGAAAUGCUUAGUAAAUUUUGUUUUAUUUUGAAUUUAUAUUAUAAAUGGUGUGUUGCUAAAUUAAAAAAUAAAAAAGAAAUGCAAUGUGUCAAAAUACAAGAAUCUUACGGACAUUUUUGUCACAAUAUAUGUAAAUAAUUCAUAUCUUAUUCAUAUCCUAUGUAAGCUUCACUUGUUUAACACAAUGGUGGUUGAAUCUUCAAAAAUUCAUAAUCUUAAACAACCAAAUUUGGAAUUAAUUAAGCAAAUUGCCUCUAUAAAUUGAUUACAACAACCAACGACGUGUGAAGCCACAUGUCAAUUUCCCUAGACAGCCCAAAUAUUGAGGCGCUGUGAGGGAGCAAGGUGCAAUCGGAUGGGGGAAAGAGAGAGAGCCAAUGGUGAGAAUGGAUCGUGGUGAGGGAGAACCAACUGGUGGUGAGAUUUGUGGCUUCAAUGAGGUGAGUUUCGUGGCGCUGUGAGUGAAGUGAGAUUUGGCAUGAGUGUGAGGGAGAAUGCGUGUGUUGUGUGAGUGAGGUAAGCUGUGUCUGUUGUGUGCAUGGAGACUCUCACCACAAUUAGAAUUUAUAGUUAGCACAGAACGAAACACAAUAUUCUACGCUAACUGUGGAGUUAACCAUGGUGAGAAUAUCAUUAUUGUUUAUUAUAACACUUUUUUUUUUAAUUUGUUUUGACAAUAAAAUAAAGAACCUUGUAAGAAAACCUCAAUAACUCAAUUAAAAAACCAACUCAACCGAUGAUAGGUAAAUUGAGAAAUUUUCAACUAAAAAUUAUUAAGAUUGGUUUUAACUUCAAAUCAUAGUCACAUAGUUUUGUCCUUAUAAAGAUCAAAAUAAUGAAUUCUAACUCCGAAGUUUUUAGAUUUAUGUGACGAACUGACGAUAGUAUAUUGAAAUCGAUUGAAAUGAAAAAUUUAAUUAAAUGCAAUUCAAGAUGUAGUAUCAAAUUCAAACGAUUCGGAUUGUUUUAAAAAUUUCAAUGCUUUAAUCUAAAUCGAUUAAUCAAUUACACUCUUGCAAUUAUAUACCGUUAAAACUAAAAUAUGUAAAAUUUAGGGUGCAUUUAUUACCAUUUUCAAUUUGUUGUUUUUCGUUUUAUGAAAAGGAAAAUACAGAAAACUUGUUUGGUGAGCUCAUAUUGGUGGAAAACUGUACAGUGAUUAAAAACAAAAAAAAAUUCAUUUUUCAAUGUUUACAAAGGAAACAAGAAAACGCUAUUACACUGGGUUCUCUAUUUUAUUUCACUUUUACUCUCUGCCAAGGCCCUACCAUCUUAACUUUUAUAACAUGGUGUAAUAAAUUACGUGGGCCCAUUUAAUAAAGAAAUAAUCUAAUAAAUAAAUUAUUAUAACAAAUAUUUAAAAAUAAUAGCAUUCCAUACCUUACAGCUUAAUUACUUAAUAUAUUACCCAAAUUAUUUUAAAUAAAAAGUGAUAUCAUAUAAUUAUUAUACUAAAUUAUUACAUUGUUCGACCAAUAUGCAGUUAUUUAAAAAUUACUACAAACUUUCUUACAUAUAUUAAUGAAAAUAUAUCAAUAAUAAAGUUACAUCUUGACAGUUAAUAUAAAUAAAUAUAUGAUAAUUAUGAAAUAAUUAAAGAUUUUCUCAAUUAAUAUUAUCUUAUAACUACAAUUUAUUUACAUAAUUAAAAGUUUUUAAGAAAUUAUUAAAAUAUCUUCAAACCUAUAUGCAUUUAUAAUAAUAUAUAAUACAUCAUAAUAUAAUAACUAAAUAGAUAAAUUAUUUAUUAAUAUAAAAUAUAUGUUUAUAUUCAUUAUAUAAUAUUAUUCUUUCAUAGUAGUUUCAUUAAAUAAUUCUCUACUCUCUCUCUUUUUAUCUUUAUUUUUUCGGACAGACAAGUAACCAAACACCGCUUCACCUUUUUUUUAUUUUCAAAUACUAUUCUUAAAAUAAACUACCAAACAUAUUUUUAUUUUUAACAAAAACUAAUCAUUUUUAUUUUAUAAAACAAAUUGAAAAGUACUAUUUAAAAUAUAAUACCAAACUUACCCUUAAUAAUUUUAUAUUUGUCAAAAAGAUGAGAAGCUAAGUGGCACUAUCGUUUACCUAUUCAAACUAAACGUGGAGUCACAAUAUUGAAGACACUUUGGUGGCCACAACACUCUUUUCUUUAGUACGGAACAAUCUGGCUUACAUGACACUACAUAAAAAUAAAUAAUAAAAAAUCACCGAUUCCAACUGCCCCGGACAAAAAACAGGCCACACGUAAAAAGGCUUCUAUUUUUAUUUUUAUUUCUCCCCAUUUUAAAGAUGACGUCAUGGUGAUUAUGAAACCAGAAAAUAACAAAUUUUAGUUGUCUGAUUUUGUAGUUAUCCAGCGAAAACUAAAAAAACAGUGAACGCAGCAGCAGAUCUCCGUGUUUGUCGUCGUUCGAUGAGAGAUUCCGAUUCGUGAGCAUCGCAAGUGUUGAAAUGGAAUCAGACGAAAUGAGGAGUUAGCCUCUUAUUAUAUAAUAAUAAUAAUGAUAAUAAUAAUAAUAACUAAUCUCUUUUAUCAUAUAAUUGAUAAUGGAAAUUCACAUUGACAAAAGGCAAAUUACACACUGACUGGGCAGAAUAAAAAACAGUCUCUCUCAAAAGCAAUAAUUUAAACACUAACACCACCUUAAGGAGACACCCCAAAAAUAAAGCAGCAAGCUCUUACUGUGACCACACACACACACACACACCAAACUUUUAUUAUAGAAUAAAUCUAAGAUGAUGGAUGAUGGAUGCGUCACAUAAAAGUUAAUUAAUUUAAUCGCUGUCACUGCUGCUGCUGCUCUCGUGUCCGUCCUCGUGCUUCUUCUUCUUCUCCUUCUUUUUCUUCUUCUCUUCACCGUGGGCGGCGCCCUCGCCGCCGCCGACACCGGGGAUCUUCUGCUUGAUCUUGUCCACCAAGCCCUCCUUGUGUUCGCCCUCCUUGUGUUCCCCGCCGUGAUGCUGCUGCUGAUGGUGAACAUCAGUAGUGCCGACACCGGGGAUCUGCUGCUUGAUCUUGUCCACCAAGCCCUCCUUGUGUUCGCCGCCGUGAUACUGCUGCUGAUGGUGGACAUCAGUAGUGUGGUGGUCCCCACUAUGGUGCUCUCCCUUGUGCUUGUCCUCCUCCUUUUGCCCUCCUCCCAUGUGAAGGGCUUCUCCGAUCUUGUGAAUAACUCCUGACAUUUUCCCUUAAAAUGACUCUGUUCCUCUUCUUUUCUUUUCAAUGAAAAAUAGUUGUUUGCGAUCUUCUUCUGGUUGUUGUUGUUCUUGUUGGGUGAUCUUGGCUUGGUAUUUAUAGGCUCCAAAAGGAGGGACUAGAAUUAGGAUUAGAUUAUAGAUUAUUUUAAUACAUUUUAUGGCAAAUUCUGAUUUGGAAAGAUAAGAUUAUCCUUUUGGUUUUCCUUAUUUACCCUUUUGCACCCAUUACGUGUACGCGUCUUCGUGGGCUUUUUGGGUAUUUCAAUUAUAUCGCCAAUGCUAAAUCGACACGUUGCAUAUCAGCCGCGGUACUGCCGUAUGUAGUUGUCCAGAAAUCGAGUCGAUUCUCGAUCGUACAAUAAUUAAAUAAUAUUUCAUACGAAAUGAGUUUAGAUAUAUUUUGAAAAUUUAUUUUUAAUUUAAUUAUACGUGUUAUAUAUUUGUUAAUCGAAUAGAGGUCCCACGUAACAGAGUGUUUCUCUAAUCUUUCAUUGCUUUUAAUUAAUUUUACCCAAAUAAAAAAAAAAAGGAAAAUUUAGAGAGAGAGAGAGAGAUAGCGAAUUAGAAGUUGAUUGUAAUAUCGACACCUGUCAGACAAUCAAAUAUCGUUAGUUAAAAAUCAGUUGUCCAUAGUCAUGGUCAUAGAUGGCGAAAUUGAUACUUAUUUUAAAAAACAAAACAAAACAAAACGAAACGAAACUAAACUAACAGAUGUUGAAAUGCAGUUCCGUGUUAACAGUCUGUGAUGAAUCUUUAUCUUUGAGUAUACCAUUCAAGAAAUUAUCAUUCAAAAAUUUAUUUAAAGCAGCAGCAAAUCACCUUCUAAUUCCUGAAUCAAAUUAAUUCGAUUUUUUUCGAGUCGAUCAAUUCAUUAGAGAAUUAACGGGCUAAGUUAAAGUUUUGUUAGUUAUUUUUUUUUAUAUUCCUUUAGAUGAUAUGAUUGUCAUUGUCUUUCUUUCUCUGGGCAACAAUAAAUACAAGAUGUGCAAAAGCGUAGUGGAACAUAAUUCGAUUAUGGGUAAAGGGAUCAGUCCGCAUAAUGAGGAUAAAGUUUUUCUCUUUAAAAAAAUUUAACCCAAAGAAAAGGUCGUAGUUUGUAAUAGCCGACACGCAGAUAGAUCACAAAGCAUGGCGGUCCUGAUGGCAAUAACUAACUGAUAUCUUCUGCGAUGAGAGGAGAUCACGUGGUUCUGACACGUAUCGCCCCAUCAACUGAUGUUGUGGCUGCAAUCGCGGCCCAGUCUUUAGAGAGAAGAAAGAUCUGUUAUAACGGGACCUACUUUAGCAUCUAUUUACGACAAAGCCCCUAUUUACUCUACUUAGUAGUAAUAAUAGCAAGUGUCGGGCUUGGAUUCCGUGUUGCUUUAAAUAAAUAUCCGCGUAAAAAGAAAAUGCUUCUUUAAUCCCUUCCUUGUAAUUUUUCGACACGUGGAUGGUUGAAAUUAGCGUGCCGACAUCUUAGGAAUUUUAUCUUGGAGACGGGAACACUGCAGUAGGCAAUGCCAUUUUCUUCGGAUGGUGUGUGGUGACAACGCCUUGGAUUUUGACGUGCAAAGAAUUUAAAUUGAAAAAGAAAAAAAGAAAUUACCAGAAUAAGCAUAGAAGAGAUAUUUUUCUUUUUGUCCUUUUUGGAAUGGAAAAAGAGAUCAAGAGAUUGUUCCAGUAAGUAUUACACAUGUCACAGGCUUAUUCAUGCCCCAUUAUGGCAACUUUUAUGCCUCGCGGUGCCCUCGGUUCCAGCAUAAUAGCUAAGACUUCAAUUUUUCUAACAUAUUUUUGUUACAAAUAUGAACGGAGUAAAUGUAUAACUUUAAUCCUUUGAAUAAAGAAAUGGCGGUUCUCCUGCUCGUUAAUCUCACUUGAAUCCCACCCAGGCAAAAUUUCUUUAUUUUAUUUAACAACAAUUUAAAGAAAGAAACUUUUGCCAGGUUGAAUUUCAAGUGAGAUUCAUUCGUGGGAGAAGUGCCAUUUCUUUAUUCAAAAGAUUAUGGUAAUUACAACUUUCAAUUUCGACAUAAAUUAAAAUUAUAGGCUAUACAAUAAAAUUGCCCUAAAUUAGUCCUAAUCAAUUCAGAUUAUAAAUUUAGGUAUAUUUAUUAUUUUAAUAUAUUAAUGUUCUAUAUAUAUAUAUAUAUAUAUAUAUAUAUGUGUGUGUGUGUGUGUAUNNNNNNNNNNNNNNNNNNNNNNNNNNNNNNNNNNNNNNNNNNNNNNNNNNNNNNNNNNNNNNNNNNNNNNNNNNNNNNNNNNNNNNNNNNNNNNNNNNNNNNNNNNNNACAGCAGAAAAUAUUUGCUAUGGAUAAGGAGACAUGGUCCCACGUCCCACCGUCCCAAUGCAUAUUUUGUAUGUUUCCAUCUUUUCUGAAAUUUUAAUAAAUAAAGUUUUUUGACCACUUGGCCAAAGAACCUUACCCUUACACAACUUUGUGGUUGGAGUCCUGUGAUACAUGUAAGAACUUAUUUUUUUUCUUAAUUAUAAUAUUUUAGAAUAUAAUUAAGUGAAGUAGGUUUUUUUUUUAAAUAUGAGUAAAAUAGAUAUUUUUUAAAUAUUAAAGAGAGUAAAAUUUGAAUAAUAAUAUAUUAAAAUUAAUACAAACUAAUUUUAAUAAUUAUUUAAUUAUAAAUAUCAAUUAUAACAUCAUAUAAUAUCAAUUAUAAUAUCGUACAUCUCAAUUAAUUCAAUAAUAAUAAUAAUAAAUGUUUUUUGGGAUAAGUAAACAGUCGCAUGGCGACAAUAGUGGAUCUGGAUUAGAGUGAAGUGGUCCCAAGAGGCUGAGGCUGUGGCUGUGGAGUUCUAAAAGUCAAAAGCUCCACGCACUUUGUUUCAGUACCAUACACACUGAAAAAAUUUGCAUUUGCAAUGACGAAAACUUUUCACGAAAUCAAAACACCUCUAAACUAUUUUGUUAUCGAUAUUUAAUGGAGGGGUUUCCUACCUUUUUAACACUCGAUUCACGCCUUGACGCAUCUCACAGAAAACCUCAUGAUCCCAUUAAUCUUGCGUAACAUAUCUCAAAGCCAAUGCAAGUGAUCUUGUUGCCUACUUCCCUUUGACGAUUCAAAAUUGUUGAAAAUAAUUCUUUUUUUUUUUAACCUCAAGGAAGUGACAAAAUAUAAAAGAAUAUUUUCUACACAUUAAACAUCUAGAUUUUUUUUUCUUUUCUUUUUAGAGUACUUGCACAAACCGUUUCCAAGAGAGACCUUUUUUUUUUUUUUUUUUUUCCGGGCUUGGUUACUAAUUUGGUGUGAAUACUCUAUGGUGAAAAAGGAAUCACAAAGCUGUAAUCAAUUUUUUUGCAUCAUUUAGUUGUAACUUGAACAUUGGGAGGUUUAUAAAGAAUUAAAUUAAUUAUAAUGCCUCUACUAGGAAAAGUUCAGAGUAGCCCUUCACAACUUUUUAAAGGCUUAAUAAUUUUCGCUUUCUUCCUCUCAUAACAUAACAAAAAAUUAAGAGCUUUACUCGUACACGUCCUAUGGCUAUAUAGUAUUGGGUUCUCUACUUCAAUCGGCUAUCUCAAACCGAAGGUUAUUUGGACACACCAGCAGUCACGUUUGG
This 63864-nucleotide long non-coding RNA is filed under the name Citrus sinensis (sweet orange). RNAcentral describes it as "long non-coding RNA (CSIN_LNC002323)". Lineage: Eukaryota; Viridiplantae; Streptophyta; Magnoliopsida; Sapindales; Rutaceae. The record is from RNAcentral.